This 56120-nucleotide long non-coding RNA is filed under the name Gossypium barbadense (sea-island cotton). Its description in RNAcentral is "long non-coding RNA (GBAR_LNC004046)". The record is from RNAcentral. Lineage: Eukaryota; Viridiplantae; Streptophyta; Magnoliopsida; Malvales; Malvaceae.
AAAAACCGAUAUAAAACCUUAAAUAUUUUAUAAAUUUGGGAUAUAAAUGAAAUUUACCCGAAUAAUAAUAAAUAGAUAACUAUAAUAAUAAUCGAAUCAACUCUCAGCCAUCAAAAUGACAAUAAGUCAUGAACACCAUUAAAAUAUAUGUGUAUAUAUAUAUAUAUGAAAACCUGAUAAAAUUUCUACUAAAAUUAAUAUUUUAUUCAAUUUAAAACACUUCUCUAAAGUCAAAUCUCGGUCAACAAAUGAAGAGCUGCCAAAAUAACUGCAAUGGCAAAUCCAAUGGUGACGUUCAAAAGAGGAGCUGCAGAUAAAUCUGGUGUCUGACUGAUGGAGGAAGCGGGAGUAACAAUGUUAGGAACAAUAGUGGGAGCCAAAGGAGGAAUUGAAAGAGAACUGGUAGGAGAGGAAGUCAGUGAAGAUUCAUGGGAUGAAGGAGAAGGAGAAGGAGAAUGAGUGGCAGUUGACGGCGAAGGAGCUGGUGGCGAAGCUGUGGGAGUGGUGGUUGGAGAGGGAAAUGACGGUAACUUGGUUGGCGUAUUGCUGUGAGCUUCGCCGAGAGCGCAGGUGGCUACUAGAGCCAAAAGAACGAAGCAAACGAAGGAUUUCGACAUUUUCAAGCUUAAAAAAAAUCAAAACAAUCCAGAGGCAGACGAGAAGAGGAGAUGAAAACUGAUAUAUAUGUAAGGUGGAAUCUCUUUUGAACUAACUAAAAUGGAUUAUUAUCGUUUUAAAUUUCAAAAUCUAACCUUAUUAAAAAAAUUGAUUAAAUAAAUUUAUUUAUAAAAUUAUUUUGUCACAUUUAAAAAAUUUCAUUAACUUAAAUUUUAUAUUAAUUAAAUUUAAAUUAUGUAUAUAAUAAAUAAUUAUAUAUUCAAAUGUAUAAAUUUUUUAUAAUAUACAUUUUAUUAUAUUAUAAUUAAUAAUUAGGAGGUUGAGGCGAGAAAUGGCUUGAUGAACUGUAGAUUUAUUUUACUUUGGUUUAUGAUUUUGUAUCUAAAUAAAAUAUUUAAGAUAAAUGUUUAGUAAGUUAAUAUUUGAUACAUUAUCAUAAAAUAUUUUAAUUCCCUAAGCAUACUUCAAAUAUUGUAGUAUAUUCAUUUUUCUAAUACUUUAUUCUUUUUAUAGUAUUUUUUUACGAAGUGGUAAAAAUUCUAAAUUAAAUAAGGGUAAACUAUAAAAAUAGUCACUUUUUGUCUCAGAUUACGUUUUAGUCAUUUAUGUUUGAAAUGUUACGUUUUAUUCAUUUAUGUUAUUGUUUUGUUACGAAUUAGUCAAUCUACCGUUAAGUUCCGUUACCUCCCUAACGGCAAUCCUACGUGGCAGUCCAAAUGGGUUUUAAAUGCCAAUUGGGAUGCCCAACUGGGAUGAGAAUAGUUUUUUUUAGUCAAAAUAGAAAAGAAAACUAAAAGAAAAAGGAGACGAAUGAUUUUUCUUUUCCAGUUCAAUGUAUAAUUAAUCUAAAAUUUUCAAUUAAUUAAAUUUAUUUAAUUAAAAAUCUAUUCUCGUCCCAGUUGGUAUUUAAAAUUCAUCUGGGCGGCCAUGUAGGAUUGUUGUUAGGGAGGUAACAGAACUUAACGACAGAGUGACCACUUCGUAACAAAACAACAAUGUAAGUGACUAAAACGUAACAUUUCAAACAUAAAUAACUAAAAUGUAAUCUAAGACAAACAAAAAUAACUAUUUUUAUAGUUUACCCAUUAAAUAAAUUUCUUUAUUUGAUAGAUUGGUAGUAUGAUUUUUUAAUUUUACAAACAUUGUUAAAAACUACCACAACCUUAAUUGUUGUUUAAAAAAUAAGAUAUACGACAAAUGAUAGUUUUUUAACCUACUUAUGGAGUUAAUAUGAGAAGGGUUUUAUAUAAAAAUGAUUUUAUAUGACAAUAAUCCCUAUUAUAUUUUGUUUAAAUUAAUUAUUAUCACAUAUUAUUUUUUUAUUAAAAUGGGUCUGAAAGUUACUACCUCAUAUUAUCAAACAUCAGCAAGAAAUUAUCAUAUUUUAUAUAUAAUAUAAAGGGUCAUAUUUUUAAUUUUUAAUUUUUAAUUUUUACAGUUUCAGUGAAAUUAUCAUCUUUUCAGUUAAAAUAGUAGUCAUUGAAGGGGAAAAAAAAUCAAACUCUUUAAAUCAACUUGGAUAGUUAUUUUCCAUCUUUAAAUAAAAUUGUUACUAAUGCAUAAAAAAAAACAAAUUAAUUCCCAUGAAACCUUAAAUUAAUUAAAAUUACAUGUCCAAAAUUAAAAAAAGUAUCAAAUUACAAAAUCACAACAUAUAUAUUUUUUUGGUGAAAAUAAAAUACAACUAUUACAAAAUAUUAGAAAAUCUCAAGAGGAGAAGUUUCAUAUAACUGUAGACCCUCCUCCCUGCCAAAGGCCAUCUUGGUAAUACUAUUAGCUUCUUUGUUCUUGUUUCUAGGAACAUAUUUGAUCAACCAAUUUUCCUCAUUUUGUAAAAGCUAUAAGAUACUCAUAAAUGCAGAAUUUGAUCCCUUCAACAAGGACUCCUUAAUAGUUCUAAUAACGUCCAGAUAGAGAAUCUGUAGCACAGUUCUAUCAUGUAUUCUGCCUUGUAUCAGUUGACACACUAUCGAGAAUGCUCUACAAUUCAGCUUCAAAAAUAGAACAUUCACCCAAUCUGUGAUUGAACCUGAGUAACCAUUUGCCAAUGAAACACAACAUAAUAUAUUAAAAUUAUUAAAAAAACAUAAUUUAAUACAAUUUCCUCAUUCUUAAUUGCGACAACAAAAUAUGUUACCGAAGAUAAAAAAGAAAAACUCUUAUAAUUUACAAAAUAUAAUGUAAAGAGCAUAAAUAGGGGAUACAUACCAAAUUUAAAUCAAUUAUAAUUAAUACAAGACCCAUAAUUAAUUAUAAUUUUUAUUUGACUUUUUUAUUAGAUACCAUUUUAUAUAAAGCUCUUAGUUGUUGUUAAAAUAAAAAAAAAUAAAGAUUUAAGCUACUCAAAUUCUUAGUAUUAUAAUAUCUUUCAAAUUUGAAACACUCUUUCUUUAUACCUGUAAUAUGUGUAGCACACUAAUUCCUAGUGUUUUAUUACUUUGUUUUACAUUAUCUACAAAUGAAAUGUAGGAAAUACACAUGAGCAACAAGAAAAAAAAAGUAUUAGAUUUUUUUAAAAAAAAUUUCUUUCUAAUACCACCAUUUUUAACUUUUCAAUAAUUUUUAUUAGAUUUUGGUUUGAUAUCGGAAAGGACCGUUAUGAAAUUGAAAAAGAGAAGCAAAGUUGAUGUUGAUCGAGGACAUUGCUGGUCAAAAAUGAUGUUGGAGGUGAUAAUUCACAAUAGUGAUUAUUCUUUUUUACGAGAUGAAUAGUUUUAGAGAAAAUAAGAAUUUUUUUCUAAAAAAAAAUGAAAAGUGAAAAUGAAAAAAAAUAGAGUCAAAGUCAUUAAAAGUUCGAGUAAGGAUGAAACUUCCCAAGAGAGUAGAUAUCAAAAUCUAGAUUUUAAAUUAAUUUUAUUGUAGGUCUGAUUAUAUUUUUACACGGUUAUAUUUAAUAUUUCAAUUCCUUAUUUCAUAUAAGUAAUUUUGCAUUAAUAUUUUAUUUCAUUUACAUCAUAUUUAAGUAAUUUUUUAUGAUAAUUAUUUUUUAUUUUAAAUUUAAAGAUAACCUCAGUUUUAAAUUUAGUUUAUGAUUGUGAUGCUAUAUCAAUUUUUAAUUAUGGUUAUAUUUUGCAUAAUAUAUAAUAUUUUAUAUAUAAAAUAUAAAAUGUAAUAUUUUGGUAUAAGACCUCUUAGUAGCCAUAUAUGUUUUAAUUAAGCUCAAAAUCGAGUUAAAUCAGACUUAAUUAUGAAAUGCAAAUUCACUUAAUCUUUAUCUAUAAGAUUCAAGAAAAUUAAAUUUUUUAUUGUUUAAAUAAAAUAAAAUUUUUUAUUUGAAUGUAGGCACCACCGACGUACGAAAUGUUGGGUCGACAUGCAUAAGAGUUUGCUAGCUUAUUGUCAAAUGUUUUGUAUAAUGUAUGUUAUUUUUUGAAGUGAGUCAAAUGUUAUAUUUAAAUCAAAACUCAACCAGCUGGCCACGAAAUUUGGGGAACCAUGUCCUGUGUACAACAUUACAGACUGCAAAAUCAUCUUAAUCCCACUCCUUGCUUCCAAAUAUUUUAUUUUUUUAUAUAUUAAUAAGUACAUAAACGUAUAUUUGUGUCGCUUAUGGUAUAAUUGAGUAAUUAAUUAAUUUAAUUUUUACUAAUUAAGUUUUUGUUUAAUUGAUAUGGACAUUGUUAUUAAUGUAAGAGAACGUGAAAUAUUCGAGUGCGCUUCUCCUAUUUAUGGGUUAAGAAGUAUGGGUAGUUCUAAGUAUUAUGUCCAAAAAAAAAAUAUGAUCAGAAUCUAUAAUAAGAUUGUUAAAAAAACUUAAUGUAACUUAUUUAAUUUGCCUUUUUUGUUGGUAUAUUUUGAGUUUCGUAGUUUUAUUAUUUACUUGUAAUUUUUUUAGGGAACGAAAUUAAAUUGUAAUUUUUAUGAUAAUAAAAAUGUAAUUUCACCAUUUUAAUAGCCUAUAUCUUUAUAAUUUGUAAAUGAUUAAAAUUUUAUCAAAAUUUAAUAGCCUAUAUUUUAGUAGAUUUGAAAUAUGGUUUAUAGGACCUUUGUUGUUAUAAAAAUUUUUAUAUUUAGCAUUAACUCAAUAUAGUCUAAAAAAUAAGGUUAGAUCGUGGUAGCGUGUUGCAUACUUUAUAACUUCAUUCGUUGGUGGAAUUGGGAUGAUCCAUACUUUGAAGAUUAUAUGGAACAAGAAGAUACUAAUUAUCUUAAUAAUACAAAUUUUGAUUUUGAUUUAGAUGAUGAAGAAAUUGGUUAAGGGCUAACAAAUGAUGAUAAAAAAUAUAUGUUAAAUGUUAGAGAGGAAAUACCCUAACAAAAUACAGAAUGUUAGUGUGAUUAAAUACAAUUGCAUAUUAUGUUCAUUUUUCUUGUCAUUUUUAUUAUCAAGCGUAUUGUCGACUACUUUCUUGAACUAUCAUAUUUACAUAUGACGAUUUUCUUGUAACUUUUGUUAUUUGUUUAGAAUUUUUUUCUCUUGCAUUAUUGAUAAUUUUUUAUAAUAAUUAAUAUGUUUUAAAAUUUUGAAUUAUGUAACCGUAUAAUUACAAUUUGUAUUACCAAACAUAUGACAUAGAAAAUUACGAUAUAAUUACGCUUUGUCAACCAAAUAUGUCUAGGAAAUUAUAAUUUAUUAUAACUACAAUAGAAUAUAAAUGUUAUCUUAAUAAUUACACUUUAAUCCAAUUAUUCUAUCAGCUAAAUAAACUGAUAUAUUGAUUUGUUUAAUUUGUAUUGAAAUUCUACUAAGAUAAAGAUAUGAAUAAUCAUUAUGAUUCCAUGUUAUCGAAACUAUUUUUUUGAAAAAGGUCGACUUUUAUUUUAAGAAUGAAAACGAAAAAAACGGGAGUCGCCACCAAUUCUUUUUUAUGAUGUGUGAUCGGGUCACCUCGAAAAGUGGUUAUUUUCAAUAAAUGGUUUGAUUUAUUAAAACAAUGAUCUUAGCCUACGAAAUUCAGAAAGAUGGGUUCGGGAGUCGGUUACACACUAGGAAAGAUUAGCACACUCGAUACGCCCAAAAUUGGUACCUAGUUGAUUAAUUAAUAUCUUAAUGUCGAAAAUUGAGAACUUUGAAGAAAUUUAAAAUACGAUCCUUUGUUAAAAAGUUAUUUAACUGAAAUUUUUUCGAGAAAAGGGCACAUCUCACAUUAAUCAAGAAAAAGAAUUACGUCUCGUAAGUUAGGACGCAAUGUCUUAAAUCCUCGAAAUGAGAAUAAAUCCCGAAAACUUUAUUUAUUUUGAAAGAAAUUUGACUAUCUCAGUUUUAGAAAGAAAUCAUAUUCCGUAAGUUAGAACACGAUUUUUUCUUAAUUCUCGAGAAUAUUAAAAAUUUUUAAAAUGUUUGUUUGGUUCGGAUUUAUCGAGAGAAUCGAAACCCCAUAAGUUAGGGAACGACUUUUCGAAUUUCAAAAUACGAAAUAUUGCUUAUUUAAAACAAUAUUUUUAAUGUAUCGGGUAAAAUGUAACACGAAUUUGUAGUAAAAAAUGUAAAAAAUAAUAAUGAUAAAUCACUGUACUAAUAUGCAUAACAGAAUGAUAAUAAACGCAAUAAUAUAAAUGAGUAUGCUAAAAAAAUUAAAAUUAAAAAAAACCUAAUAGUAAACAAAGAAAUAAAUAAAUAUUAUGUAAAACAAUUUAAAAAAAACAAUAAUAUUGAUAAUAACGAUAAUAAUAUUAAUAAUAAUACUACAAAUAAUAAAUAAUUUGAAGUUUGAAAUUGUAUAAAAAGGAUAUAAAAAAAUAAACAAUAAAAUGAUAAAAAGUAAUGAUAAAAUAUAGUGUACUUAAAGAAUAAUAAUAAGUAAAUAAAAAAAAAGAAAUAUAAUAAUAAUAGUAAUAAUAUUAAAUUAAUUAAUAAUAAAAUAAUAAGUAAACAAACACAAAAAGAAAAUAUAAUUAUAAUAGUAAUAAUAAUAAAAAUAAUAGCAAUAAUAAUAGUGAUAAAAUAAUAAUAAUAAUAAUAGUAAUAAUAAUGUUAAAUUAACUAAUUUAAUAAUAAAAUAGCAAUAAAUAAAAAAGGACUAAAUUGAACUUUUAAAUAGAAAGUUGGGGUAAAUCAGAAAUAAAUAAAAAGAAAAAGGACCGAGUUGCAUGCGUGAAUAACAAAGAGAGACCAAAAGGGAAAUUUUUCCUUCUCCUCCAAAACGCACAGCAUAAGGGAGGACCAAAUUGAAAUCGAAAUAAAUAAUGAGGUAAAAAUAAAAAAUAAGAAAAACUUGAUUGCAAAACCAUAAAAAAAGUGGAAGGAUUAAAAAGGUAAAUAACCCCUUUAUGAAAAACGCGCGGAUCGUAGGCCAGAGCGGGUCGGGUUGCACGGGUUGAGCAUGAAACGACGCCGUUUUGGGGUUUAAUGACCCAUGCCAAAACGACGUCGUUUUAGCCCUCUAUUUAAGCAAACUUUCCAAAAAAAAUUAUUUCAGCACCUGUUUUUUUUUUUAAAAAAAAAACCUUCCUCCCUCUCUUUUUCUCUUUACAGGGCCUGAGGGUCUGGUGGGAAUUUCAAUCGCCGGACCGCCGUCGUCCGCCGCUAUCGACCAUCGUGCACGGCGUUCAAAACUCGAAAAAAAUUAAUUUUUUCUUUUUUUUUUAUUAUUUUUGGUAUAUUUAUAUAUUUAUAAAAAAACUAUUUUUUAAAGAAAAAUAAAAAAAAAUAUAGGCGUAUGUAUAUAUAUUCGAAGGAGGAAAAUAAAGAAGAGGAAAUAAAAUAAAUUAAUAAAACAAAAAUAAAGACCUUAGCCCGUUUAUAUUUUUUUCCACUGCUUGCUGUCUUUUUUUUUCCUAUUUGUUUGGUGUAUUUGAAUCUGUUUUUGUAUUCGAUAAAAAUCCCCUAGAAUAUUACAAUGGAUUUUGAUUGGCUUUUAUAGCCAUUUACAAACACUUUUAAACUUAUUUUAAUACUACUGUUGCUUGCAGGUGCAACUUGAGGGCGGUGGACGUGACAAGGCGUUGGCAGCAGGCGGUGCAGAGGCUAGGACGGCGAGCCUAGGGUUUCAAAGACCCUAGAAUCAGUUUAGGUUUUGGGUUUCUAUUGGGCCAUUAAGGUUUGGGCCCAUUUUAGUGGGUCUGUAAUUGGGUUUUAAUGUUUUGGGCUAUUUGGGUUUUAGCUUAGGUGUGGAUUUGAGGUUUGGGUUUGGGGUUUAGUAAUUUGGGUCUGAGGUUUGGGUUGUAAUGGGACUAUGGACCUUUUGUUUUGAUUUUGUUUUAAUUUAUGGGCCCCGGGCUAAAUUGGGCUUGUACAGCUGCCCUUUUUGCUCGUUGUCGUGUAACGAGAACAGAGCAAAGACUUUUAAGAAAGACUAAUUUUGCCUGGUCUCGCCAGUAUUGACUUCUUUGGUGCUCAUCUUCUUCAGGUAGCCUCGUUCCAGUCCACCACAUCUUGUUGUUUCGAUCCAUUCCACCGCACCUUCAGAGAAAUAAAACUUGUAGUUUUAAUCUAUUCCGCUGCAAAUUCAAGGAUAAUAGAUUUGUAACUUGUAGCUUCAAUCUGCUCCACUGCAACUUCAGGGAGAUAAGAUCCUCUAUCUUCAGUUUGCUCUUACUGCAACUUCAGGGAGAUAAGGCUGGUGGCUUUAAUAUGCUCCACUGCAACUUCAAGAAGAUAAGAUUCGCCAUAUUUGUAGUUUUAAUUUGUUCCAUUGCAACGUCAGGGAAAUAAGAUUCGCUGUCUUCAGUCUGCUCCACUGCAACUUCAGGGAGAUAAGACUGGUGGCAUCAAUCUGUUCCACUGCAACUUCAAGAAGAUAAGAUUCGCUAUAAUUUGUAGCUUUAAUCUGUUCCACUAUAACGUCAGCAAAAUAAGAUUCGUUGUCUUCAGUCUGCUCCGCAGCAACUUUAGAGAGAUAAGGCUGGUGGCUUUAAUCUGCUCUACUGUGACUUUAGGAAGAUAAGAUCCUCCAUAAUUUGUAGUUUUAAUCUGUUCUACUACGACGUCAGGGAAAUAAGAUUCGUUGUCUUCAGUCUACUCCUACUGCAACUUCAGGGAGAUAAGGCUGGUGGCUUCAAUCUGCUCCACUGCAACUUCGAGAAGAUAAUAUCCUCUAUAAUUUGUAGCUUUAAUCUGUUCCACUACAACCUCAGCUAAAUAAGAUUCGCUGUCUUCAGUUUGCUCCUACUGCAACUUCAGGGAGAUAAGGUUGAUGGCUUCAAUCUAUUCCACUGCAACUUUAGGAAGAUAAGAUUCGCCAUUUUCGAUCUACUCCACUGCAACUUCAAGGAGAUAAGAUCUACAACUUCAAUCUGUUCCACCACUACUUCAGGGAGAUAAGAUUUGUGGAUUCAUCGAUCUUGCUACACAGUCUUCUGGGGGACAUGACCUGUAGAAUUGAUUUCAUGGGCCUAUGCUUAUGCCAAAUGAUUAGGAUGUAAUGAACCAAAUGCUCCUAACUAGAUGUGUAGAAUGAUAUUUGCAUGGAUGCAGAAUGUAAUGAGAAUGAUCCCUUUUAAAGGUUUAGGUUGUUAUUACUCAUUGUUCAUCAAGGUUCUAUCAUUGAUGCAAUAUCCUGUCUUCUUGUUCAGUUGAUAUCUUUGAUAGAAAAUUCGAAGAAAUAGUCACAAUUUAGACUUUUCUUUCUCAAAUAUUUUCAACCUUUAGGUUUGGUGAGUUCUAAAUAAUAGUCAUGUUUCAAGUUCUUGUACUAUUUAGAAGCUUCUAGAGUAAUAUACAGAACUCCUUUUGUGAAAGUAUUAUUAGUCCAUUACUUGUUAUUUCAAUGCAAAACGCUUGAAAAAGAUCAUAAUGAUGGACAAAACUAAAAUUUAUAAGGAAUAAUAUCUAAAAAGAAUGGAUUAAUGAAAGAAAGCAAACAUUGCUGGAAUACAAAAUAGGUAAGAGGAAAAAUAGAUGCCCUAGAUAUCGCAGCCUGAGCAUUUCUGUACAAACUCCUUGAGAACCAUUUUGAGCUCAACAUGUAUUUAGGAGACCUAGAGUACUUUGUCAAUGCUCCAAGAUGUAGCAUACCUCUUCUUUUUUAAUUCAGGGAUAGUAAGACUACCGUAUACCCCACUUUUCAUCAAAAUUUGAAUUGCAUUUUUAUGGGUUUUCAAUUCAAAACCCUUUUAGUCUCAAGGCGCCUUUUGCGGGUUUUCUCCUAGGCCUCUCCUUUUUUUUUAAGUGAAGUACUUCUUGACUGAGUCUGAAUUCAUUGGAUUAGGAAAAGUCUUUCCAUUCAUUUCAUUUAAUAUCAACGCUCUUCCAGAAAAAUGCCUUCUUUACCACAUAAGGUCCUUCCCAGUUGGCAUCCAUUUUCCUCUAAAGUCCUUUUGUAUGGGAAUGAUCUUCUUCAAUACCAAGUCCCCUUCAUGGACCUUUUCUCUUCAAACAAAUUUAACUGAUCAUAUCAGGCUUGGAUCCAUUUUGCUUCAUCCAAUUUUAGCUCUGACAAGACUCGAAGGGAAGGAAUCUCAACUUCGAUGGGUAAAACUACCUCCAUUCCAUAGAAUAAUGAUAAAGAAGUUGCCCUGGUAGAGGUCCUGGUCGAUGUAUAAUAAGCAUAGAGAGCAAAUGGUAACUUCUCAUGCCAAUCUCUAUAAGGCUCAUUCAUCUUUCCCACAAUCCUUUUGAUAUUCUUAUUAGCUACCUCAACUGCACUAUUCAUUUUUGGGCAAUAUGGUGAUGAGUUGUGGUGUUUAAUUUUGAACUGAUUGCAGACCUCUGUUAUCGUGCUAUUGUUCAAGUUUAAUGCAUUGUCCGAUAUGAUCCUUUCUGGCAUUCUAUAUCGGCAUAUGAUCUCUUUCUUUAAGAACUUGCUGACUCUCGACUUUGUGACAUUGGUAUAUGAUGCAGCUUCUACCUACUUGGUGAAAUAGUCGAUGACCACAAAGAUGAACCGAUGCCCAUUGGAAGCUUUUGGAGAAAUCGGUCCAAUGAUAUUCAUGACCCACAUAGAGAAAUACCAUGGAGAAGUCAUAAUAUGAAGAGGUGAAGGAUGCACAUGAAUCUUAUCCCCAUAAAUUUGGCAUUUAUGGCAUUUCUUAGCGUAACUGAUGCAAUUUCCUUCCAUGGUAGACUAAUAAUACCUGAAUUUCAUGAUUUUUCUGGCUAUUGUAAAACCAUUAGCAUGUGUUCUGCAGACACCCUCAUGGACUUCUUCCAAGAUUUUCUUAGCCUCGACAGCUUCUACACAUCUUAAUAGCACAUAAUCCUUUCUUCUUUUGUAUAGGAUCUCCCCGUCUAAGACAUAGUCACUGGCCAGCCUUUUCAAUGUUCUUUUGUCAUUCUCAGUUACUUAGUCAAGGUAUUCACGUUCUUCACAUAUCACAGUAUAUCGUGAUAUCAAGGAUGAUCAUUUUUUUCUUCCUCUUAUUCAAUAUUGUGGCAAUGAGCUGGAUCCUCAUAAAUACUCAUCUGAAUAGGCUUUACAUCCUCCUAUUUGUUUACUUCGACCAUAGAAGUCAUAGUUGCCAAGGCAUUAGCCAUCUAAUUUUCAUCUCGCGGAAGGUAACAGAAAGUGAUGUUAUCGAAUUCCUAGAUCAACUCUAGGACCAGCCUUUUAUAAUUAAUUAACUUGGGAUCUUUGGUCUCCCACUCACCAUUGAGUUGAUAGAUCACUAGCGCAGAAUCCCCAUACACCUCUAGUACCUUAAUUUUGCGUUCUAUUGCUGCACGAAUACCCAUGAUGCAUGCUUCGUAUUCUACCAUAUUAUUUGUGCAAUCAAAAUCCAAUUUGCAAGUAAAUGGAUAAUGACCUCCUUUUAGGGAUACCAAGACUGUCCCAAUUCUGUUGCCAACCAGGUUUGAUACUCCGUCGAAGUUUAGUUUCCAAUGACGAUCUUUUGGAGCGUCUUCUUCAGUGGUUGCCACAUACAUUAUAUCUUCAUUCGAAAAAUCAAAGUUCAGAGGUUCGUAGUCUUCUAGAGCUCUACUGGCCAGAAAAUCUGCUAUUGUACUUCCUUUACUGCUUUCUGGUUCAUAUAGACUAUGCCAAAUUUUUGAAAGCAGAAUUUGCCAUCGGGCCAUUCUUCCGUUCAAAGUAGUCGACUCAAUCAUUUACUUUAGAGGAUCGAGUUUUGAGAUGAGCAAAGUUGUGUGGUAUAACAUAUACUGUCUCAAUCUUCGGGUUGUCCAUAUUAAGGAACAACAUAACUUCUCAAUUUGUGAGUAUCUCGUCUCAGUGAACUUCUUACUGUGGUAGUAUAUCACCCUUUCUUUCCUUCCUGAAUCAUCAUGUUGGCCAAGCACACAUCCCAUAGAAUUCUCAAAUACUGCCAAGUACAGUAUCAGUAGCUUAUCUGGACUAGAUGGUGUCAGCACUGGGGCAUUGGACAAGUAUUGUUUGACCUUAUCAAAAGUUUUUUGGCACUAAUCAUCCUAAACACCUGGAUUGUGUUUCUUAAGGAGACGAAAUAUAGGGUCACAUUUCUUGGUCAAUUGUGAAAUGAACCAGACAAUGUAAUUUAGUCUUCCUAGGAAUCCUCGAACUUCUUUUUGAGUGCGCGGCAGAGGUAACUUGUAAUGACCCAAAAUCCGUGGGCACCGAAAAAGUGCAUUAUCGGGCCUCCGUCUUAGUGAAACGGGUUCGUAAAUAAUUAUUAGGAAUAAUUAUGAGUCUAGUUACAUGUCUAAUUAGGUUUUAUUUAGGUGAAACUAGUUUAAUUUAGAAUAAUUAGUAAAAAGGACUAGAUUGAGUAAAGGUUAAAAGUUUAAUUCUAAAACAAUAGAAAGCAAAAGGGAUUAAAAUGGCAAUUAAGCCAUUUGUAAUAAUUGACGCGGCAAAAUGGAUAGAAAUUUUUUUCUAAGAUUUUAUAAAUUAUUAUUGUUAAUAAUAAUAAUAUUAUUAUUUGAUUUAAAAUUUUGUUAUUAGAUUAUAAAUAAAUUAAAAUUUGUGCCAAAUGUAUGAUGAUAAAAGUGUACAUGUGUGAUAUGUGUAUUUAUACACAUGUAAAAUAUAUAUAUAUUUGUAUAUUUUCUUAAAUAAUAAGUAAAUGAUAAUAAUUAAAUUAUAAGAAUUUUUUAUAAUAAACAAAUUGAAUAAUGACAAGUGUAAUAAAAAUAUUGGUACAUUUGUUAUAAAAUAAUUUGUUUACUUAAUAUUAAAGUAAUACAAAAUAACUAAAAGAAAUAAGUAAAUAGAAUAAAAAGAAAGUAAAAGAAAGAAGAACAGAAAAGAAGCAGAGAGCAAAACGCAAACAGGAGAAGAAAAAGGGGAAGAAAAAAAAGGGGAAAAAUUGGGAUUUUAAAGCUUCAAGUUUAAUUGCUAAUAAGAAAAACGAGGCAUCGGAAUCCAAAGAAAAAGAAAAGAUCGUUGAGGAGUAAACGCGUAUUCCGGGUUUGUAUUACUAGAACUCAAACUAUUUAUUAAAUGUUAUAUUGAAUUUGUAGUCAUGGGACAUCUAGGAUAAGGUAAGUAAUAAUAUUUGAAAUUAAGUAAGAAUAUAUGUGAAUAUUGAAUUAUAUGUGAAUUGAGAUAAUAGAUGUUUUGAAUUGAUUGAAUAUUUGAAAUUGUUGUGGAAAUGAAUUCGAAAUUGGAAAAGUAAAAUAAUACCUUAUUAACUUGUCGGACUAGAUUGGAGACAAAUGGCAUGCCAUAGGAUUGUGAUAUGAUGAGAAGAUUUGUAGCUCGACCGAGAAGAUGAUUCCGUUAUUAUAUGCUUCGGUUUAAUCGAAGAGGCAUUUAAUGCCUUAUUGGUGCGUUUGGGAGGAUAUGAUAUACCGGUGUGUUUAGGAGGCUAUAUUAACUAGUGUGUUAUGGAGGAUUUAUAUUAUUCCAGGUGUGUUUAGGUUGGAUAUUCUAGUGUGUUUGAGUGGAGUAUGCCUAUCUAUCAAAGUCUGAGCCUUGUUAAUAGGGUAAAUAAUUGAAAUGAAAAUUUGAAAUUGAUUUGACACUACUGAAAAGUACGAGAAAGAAUGUAUGAAUUAAAUUAUGAAUUGAAUUAGUAUAUGAACAAAAAAAAGAAAUAUUAAUUUAAGAUUUAUGAAGUGAUAUAUAAUUAUGUAUAAUUAGUUUAAAUGAUUUAUAAAGCUUAUGGUUGAUACUGUAAUUUAUUAAUGUUAAGUAGUUUGGUUUAUAGUAAUACCACUGAGUAUGAAAUACUCAGCGUACGGUUGUUUCGGUGCGCAGGUCAUUAGAGUUCAAGAUCCAGUUCAGCAUCCAGAAAGAUCUCGACUCCAACAAGAAAAUUUUGGUGAUGUAUUUCUUCUUUUUGUUUAAGUGGCGUGUACUAGGUGGUUGUACAUGAGUCAUGUAUAUAUAUACAUAGGUUAAAUGAUCUUGUUGUAAUUAGAUAGUUAUGAAAUUUUGGAUGAUAAGUAAGUUUAAAGUUAUAAAUUAGUAAAUUUGGUAUUAAAUUUUGAAAUGAAAUAAAAGAUAUGAAUUAGUUCCUUAUAUGUUAACACUUUAAAAUUUAAGUAAUAAAUCAAUGGAUUAAGCAUGAUUUAGUAGUUUUUAAGAUGUAAAUUUUUUUUUAUUGAAACAUAGGUAUUGAUUUGUUUUUGGUUUGAAUUUUCAAGGGGUUUUAGGUAAAAAUAAGCAUAAAUACUGUCGAAAUUUUUGUAAAAAAAAUUACGAAAAAUUUUCUGAAAUACUCAAACAAGUCCAGUUCUACUUUUAAUACAUGUUUUGGGCUUCAAGAGUCGAAUAUAGGGACUUAAUUAUUAUAUUAUACUAUGGAUGUUAUAUUAAUUGUGAAUUAUUCGUAAGUUGUCUGAUAUGUCCUGUAAUGCCUCGUAACCCUGUUUCGGCGACGGUUUAGGGUUAGGGGGUGUUACAUAACUCCUGUAUAGCAUUGACUUUAAUUGGGUCAAUCUCAAUCCCUUUUUCGCUGACUACGAAUCCUAGCAGUUUUCCUGACCUAACCUCGAAGGUACAUUUUGCUGGAUUGAGCUUUAACUGAAAUUUCCUCAACCUCAAGAAUAAUUUCCUCAAGACUUGCGCAUGCUCCUCUUCUGUUCGGGAUGUGAUGAUCAUAUCGUCGAUAUAAACUUUAAAUUUUUUGUGCAUCAUAUAAUGGAACAAGGUUACCAUGACUCUCUGAUAUGUCGCUCCCAUAUUUUUCAGUCCAAAUAACAUUACUUUAUAGCAAAAUGUUCCUCGCAUAGUUACAAAUGUGGUCUUAUCCAUGUCUUCAGGAGGCAUCUUUAUUUGGUUGUAUCCUGAGAAGCCAUCAUGAAGAAGAAUAAUGAAUAAUCUGCUGUUUUGUCCAUUAUGGUGUCGAUAUGGGGCAAUGAGAAAUUUUCUUUUGGGCUAGCUUUGUUUAGGUCCCUGUAAUCUAUACACAUUCGUACUUUUCCAUAUUUUUUAGGGACGGGGACGAUAUUGGUUACCCAUUCUAAGUAUUUGACCACUUGUAAGAAACCAACAUCGAAUUGCUUAUUAACUCUUCUUUUAUUUUUAGCAAAACAUCGGGCCUCAUCCUUCGGAGUUUCUGUUGAACUGGCUUGCACUCUUCUUUUAUGGGGAGCCGGUGUACCAUGAUAUCAGUACUUAGUCUAGGCAUAUCUUGAUACGACCAUGCGAAAACAUCUUUGAAUUCUUGGAGUAACUCAAUGAGGUCUCGCUUUAUCUCUGUGGCAAUGUAAGCUCCAAUUUUCACUUCUUUUCCUUCUUCCAAAACCAUAAUCUCUACUGACUCUUUGUGAGGUAGAAUCUGUUUCUCCUCUUGUUCUACCAUCUUUAACAAAUCCAGAGAUAGGUUACAGUUUCUGUCAUCUUCAAAGUCCUAAGAUCUCUCUAGACACAUGUCUCGCUCAAAAUGAGAUUUUGGGUCAAUAGCAGCAUCGCUCAUGUCAUUAAUAUCUGGAGACCUGUUGUAGGUACGAAGGAAUACUCAAAGAAUAAAUGAAUCUAAGAACAUUUAUUUAUGUGGUAUGAAUAUGAAUGAAAUGAAGGAAUAAAAGAAUAUUUGCUCAAAGUGAGAUACAAAAAUGUAUUUUUCAUUGAAAUAAAGAUGUUGGACAUGAGCUUAUUUCACAAAAGGAUUCUUAUUGCUUCUAGGCUUAAAGCAACAAGCGUGUAUUGAACAUUACUCUGAAUCAGCUCUAAAAAUUAUAGAAAUCUCUUCUGCAGUCCAAUUGUUCAGAACACUUCCAGGCUCAUAAGGGCAAAUGCUCGAUAAAUUUUUUCUUCCAAUUCCUUCUUCGGAUAUAGCAUUGAUGCUCCAAUUUCUGAACAUUCCUUUCGGGCCUUCAGUAUAUUCAAAGAAUUCUAGUUCCUUAUUAUCCAUCAGGCCUUGCACCAAGGCUCUGAAUUCAUUGCACUUUUGAAUUUUGUAACACUCUUCAUCAUGGAACUCACAGUAGUUCCUUGCUUCUUCGGGUUUCUCCCCUAAAUCCUGUGUGAUUAAUCCUCCUUCUACCAUUUUCUUCCAAACCUCCCUCAAUGGGGUUUUCACUUCUGUUACAUAUGUCUUAAUUCUCUUCCCUACACUUUCGAUUAUCGCAUUUACCCCUUUUUCAGAAUGGUUGGGUAACGAAUUUUCUACACUAGAUGGAUCAUCGAAUUUCACAAUACUCAUUUUGAUGAGUCUUUUGAUUAUUUUUUAAAAGCAGUACAGUUCUCGAUCGAGUGUCCUGUGAUUCCCGCGUGGUAUUCACAUUGGGCGUUCGCGUCGUACCAUUUGGGGUAUGGGGGCUGCUUAGGUUUUAGGUAGAAAGGAGAUACUGCAUGUGCAUCAAACAAACUUUGGUACAACUCCCUAUACGUGAUUAGGAUGGGCGUGAACUGAAGUUUUUUCUGAGUUUGGUCUUGGAUUGGGUUAUUGCCUUGGGGGGAUCUGAUGGCUAGUAGUUACCGUCCUUGGCUAGCUUACGGUAAUCGGCUUUGAAUAGCCCUUGUUAUACAUACUCGCAUUAUUCACCUAAUUUUCCCUCUUCCUCAGUGCCUUUAAAGUAUUGAUUUGGGAGCUCCACUCUCGCAUUUUCCGCUUGUAACAAUCUUCAAAUUGUUUUGGGAACUCCACUCUCGCCUUUUUUUGUUUUCGCUAGAUCAUCCAGAUUAAUGACAAUAGGAUUGGUUAGACUAUCCCCCAGGUUAGAACCUGAACCUGUUGGGAAGUUCACCAGUGUCAAGGUACCAGUUUGGUAUUGGGGUCUGAUGUUAACGGACACCUUUUGUGGAUACGCGUUUGGUUGUGCUUGGGUGUUUGUUGGGGUAAAGGGUGGAGGAUAAGCAGGGUCCACGUUAUCGUCCCCGGAAUUGACCAUAUAGCUUUUUCCUUUUUCUAACCCUCCAGCCAGUGACUAAGUUAACUGGCUUAUCAUAUUUCUUUAGAAUUCUAGUAUCUGAUCCCUCAUAUCUUGUUGAAUUUUGGCCAAUUGCUCUUGCAUCCGUAUUUGCAUUUGCUCUAUUUCCAACCUUUGGUCCAUUUUUUUAGUUUUUACUCGUGUAUCGAUAUUCCAGGGUAACUGCCAAGAUUUUAGGGUCCUUUUGUGAGAUUUAAUGCAUAUGAUGCAAUACAAUGCUAAUGCAUGAAAUGAAUGCAAAAAAGAGGCGUUGAUUCUGAUUUAAUUCUGUUAGAACAAUUUUACUAGAAAACAAAUCUCUUUAGAUAAAACGGACACAUAUACGGCCUUGCCAUCAUACUCUAGGCGAAGACAUCGAUCCUUUUCUUCAUGUCCGGGUGUUAAGAUCAAAUCCCGUGAAUUUUCGAAGAGACACCUCUAUUAUCUCCUUUUUUCUUGAUCCAAGUUGCGACCCAUUGCUCACUCAUCUCCGUAAUGCUUGUCAGCUUCUUUAAGAAAGUCAGGACGUUGAUGGCUCUCGAAUAAUCUUUGUCGGCUUGAAUCCUCGGCCAAAGAAGUAAGGCUGUGUACUCUUUUAUAUACUUUCUCGAAAGUAAAGCAACUAUAAGGAGGGUUUUAAUACUGGGCGAAAGCUCGGAAUAGGCGUUCGUCUACCUUGAUAUCGAGUAGAUAGGGUAAAUUACCAUAAUAUAGUAGAAUAGUUGUUUGAUCUCGUCAUCCCACUAACCCCAUAUUUCUUUCAUCUCUUGAAGAUUAUUUUGGGUUACGCUGAUACGAGUGAAGUCCCAAAACUCCGAUACGUACCCCUCUGUAAGACUAUCACCUUUCUCUUGCUGCGUUGUCUCGGCCUAUAUCUGGACGGCUGCAUUAUCCUCCACUUUAUCAAGAAACCCCUUUUCCAUGAUAAGUUAUCUAUUUAGCAACCCCUUUUCCAUGGUGUAACUCUACCAAGGCAAGCUCCUACGGCUCAUUAUAUGUGGUUCGGUUCUAAAGUAAAGGUUCCUGAACCAAUAGAUUCCUCGUUCACCCAUUAUAGGCUCAUAUAGACUGAGUUCAGUUCAGGGGAAUACAUUUCGCUAUGGCUACACGGAGAUGAAAAUCUCACGAAGACAUAGGUACGGAUGUAUCCUGAAAGUGAUCCACUAUCCUACAAAGAGGUGAAAACCUCACGAAGGAGUAGUUUCUCACUCUCAUUUAAAAGGGUAAAAUUGACCGAUCAUGUGAUGCAAAUGUGCAGAAAUAUAUCAAGAACUCAAACCAGUAAAGCAUACCAAAAUGAUGAAGAUCGUAACAAAAACGAAUGAAAUACAACGAGAGGGUUGUAAAUUUAAACCAAAUUUUCAACUUUCGACAAAAAGACAAAAAGUAAUCAACUUGUGGCUUGACUCUCUUAUUUUGUGUCCCUGACGGAGUUGCUAAGCUAUCGAAACCAUUUUUUUGAAAAACGAGGUCGACUUUUAUUUUAAGAAUGAAAAUGGAAAAAACGGGAGUUGCCACCAAUCCUUUUUGAUGAUGUGUGAUCGGGUCACCUCGAAAAGUGGUUGUUUUCAAUAAACGGUUUGAUUUAUUAAAACAACGAUUUUGGCCCACGAAAUUUAAAAAGAGGGUUCGGGAUUCGGUUAUGCACGAGGAAGGAUUAGCACCCUCGAUACGCCCAAAAUUGGUACCUAGUUGAUUAAUUAAUAUCUUAGUGUCGAAAAUUGAGAACUUUGAAGAAAUUUAAAAUACAAUCCUUUGUUAAAAAGUUAUUUAACUGAAAAUUUUUCGAGAAAAGGGCAUAUCUCACGUUAAUCGAGAAAAAGAAUUACGUCCCGUAGGUUAGGACGCAAUGUCUUAAAUCUUCGAAAUGAGAAUAAACCCCAAAAAUUUUAUUUAUUUUGAAAAAAAUGACUAUCUCGGUUUUAGAAAGAAAUCAUAUUCCGUAAGUUAGAACACAAUCUUUUCUUAAUUUCCGAGAACAUUAAAAAUUUUUAAAACGUUUGUUUGGUUCGAAUUUAUCGAGAGAAUCGAAACCUUGUAAGUUAGGGAACGACUUUUAGAAUUUCAAAAUACGAAAUAUUGCUUAUUUAAAACAACAUUUUUAAUGUAUCAAGUAAAAUGUAACACGAAUUUGUAGUAAAAAAUGUAAAAAUAGUAACGAUAAAUCACAGUACUAAUAUGCAUAACAGAAUGGUAAUAAACGCGAUAAUAUAAAUGAGUAUGCUAAAAAAUUUAAAAUUUUAAAAAAACCUAAUAGUAAACAAAGAAAUAAAUAAAUAUUAUGUAAAAAAAUUUUAAAAAACAAUAAUAUUGAUAAUAACGAUAAUAAUAUUAAUAAUAAUACUACAAAUAAUAAAUAAUUUGAAGUUUGAAAUUAUAUAAAAAUGAUAUAAAUAAAUAAACAAUAAAAUGAUAAAAAGUAAUGAUAAAAUAUAGUGUAUUUAAAGAAUAAUAAUAAGUAAAUAAAUUCAAAAAAGGAAGACAAUAAUAAUAGUAAUAAUAAUUAAAUUAAUUAAUAAUAAAAUAAUAAGUAAAUAAACACAAAAAGAAAAUAUAAUUAUAAUAGUAAUAAUAAUAAAAAUAAUAACAAUAAUAAUAGUGAUAAAAUUAUAAUAAUAGUAGUAAUAAUAAUAAUGAUAGUAAUAAUAGCAAUAAUAAUAAUGUUAAAUUAACUAAUUUAAUAAUAAAAUAGCAAUAAAUAAAAAAAAGGACUAAAUUGAACUUUUAAACAAAAAGUUGGGGUAAAUAAGAAAUAAAUAAAAAUGAAAAGGACCAAGUUACAUGAGCGAAUAACAAAGAGGAACCAAAAGGGAAAUUUUCCUUUCUCUUCCAAAACGCACAGCAUAAGGGAGGACCAAAUUGAAAUCGAAAUAAAUAAUAGGGUAAAAAAAAAGAAAAACUUGAUUGCAAAACCAUAAAAAAGCGAAAGGAUCAAAAGGGUAAAUAACCCCUUUACGAAAAACGCGAAUAUCCUAGGCCAGAGCGGGUCGGGUCGCGCAGGUUGAGCAUAAAACGAUGUCGUUUUGGGGUUUAAGGACUCAGGCUGAAACGAUGUCGUUAUAGCCCUCUAUUUAAGCAAAUUUUCUAAAAAAAAAUCAUUUCAGCUCUUGUUUUUAAAAAAAAGACCUUCCUCCCUCUCUUUUUCUCUCUACAGGGCCUGCUGUCUGCUACCGUCAACCGCCGUGCAUGGCGGCCGAAACUCGAAAAAAGGUAAUUUUUUCUUUUUUAUUAUUUUUUUGAUAUAUUUAUAUAUAUAAGCUAUUUUUUAAAGGAAAAUAAGGAAAAUAUAGGCGUAUGUAUAUAUAUUCGAAUGAGGAAAAUAAAGAAGAGGAAAUAAAAUAAAUAAAUAAAAUGAAAAUAAAGACCUUAGCCCGUUUUUAUUUUCUUCCACUGCUUGCUGUUUUUUUUUCUUUCUAUUUGUUUGGUGUGUUCGAAUCUGUUUUUGUAUUCGAUAAAAUCCCCCAGAAUAUUACAAUGGAUUUUGAUUGGCUUUUAUAGCCAUUACAAACACUUUUAAACUUAUUUUAAUACUAUUGUUGCUUGCAGGUUCAACUUGAGGGCGAUGGACGUGACAAGGCGGUGGCAGCAGGCGGUGCAGAGGUUAGGACGAUGCGCCUAGGGUUCCAGAGACCCUAGAAUCAGUUUAGGUUUUGGGUUUCUAUUGGGCCAUUAAGGUUUGGGCCUGUUUUAGUGGGUCUAUAAUUGGGUUUUAAUGUUUUGGGCUAUUUGGGUUUUAGCUUAGGUGUGGAUUUGAGGUUUGGGUUUGGGGUUUAGUAAUUUGGGUAGGAGGUUUGGGUUGUAAUGGGACUGUGGACCUUUUGUUUUGAUUUUGUUUUAAUUUAUGGGCCCCGAGCUAAAUUGGGUUUGUACACAUAUAAUAUAAAAUAUUAUUCAAGUUUUUAAGAAUAAUGAAUAUAUGUUGUAUUUUAAAGGUUGAGCUUGAUUAUGAAGAUCGAAUUUAAUUAUAUUUAGAUGUAAUUUAAAGAAUGAAAUUUUGGGAAAAAAAUAUUAACGAGAUAAUAAAAAAAUUAAAUAAUUUUGUUAGUAAGAUUUUAACUUUUUUGGUAAAAUUUUAAACUCUUAGGUGCUGAAAUUUAAGUUAUUACUUAUUAGUAGACUGGUUUUUUUCAUUUUAUUUUACAAAAAUUAAAUUGCUUAUAUAAUUCAUUAGUAUUGUUAUAUAAAGUGGACUAAUUUUAAAUUAAUUCAUAUUUUUUCACUUGAAUUAAAAUUGCUAUUUUCUUAUAAUUAAAGUACCUUCAAUAUCUACUUUACCAUCCAUUAAAACUAAUUCAAUUCAUUAUCAAAUCAACCAAUUAUGAAUUAACCUAAUCCCAUUUUUUAUACAUUUCAAUACAAAAGAUGGCAAUUAAAUAUGUGUUCUUGUUUUUCUCCCUCAAAAAUGUUUAUUGGCAUAUUUGGGAAAAGUUUUGAAAACCAAAGAAUGUGCAGUGAAAUAUACUAUGGAAAUUUCAGGGACCUCAAAGGGACAAAUUCUUUACAUGGCUUGUUCUUAAAUAGAGGCUGAUGAUUGAUGUGGAGCGUGUUAAGAGGGGAAUAGGGUAUAAUAGCUCGUGUGGUAUAUGUGGUUAUCAUUCUGAAGAUAUUUUGCAUGUUUUCCGAGACCGUUCGACAACUAAAGAAAUUUGGAGGCAGUUAUCCUAGAUGAAACCAAUGGGAGCUUUUUUACAGGGGACCUUUUUCAGGGGUUAAAGUCUAAUUUGCAAAGCCUUGCAAAACCAGUCGUCGGUGAGGUAAAUUGGUCAUGUUUAUUUGGCUUACUAACCUGGUGAAUUUGGAAGAAUUAGAACCUUUUUAUUUUUCAAGGCGUCUCUUGGAACACACGUGAGAUUGUUAAGAUUUCAUAUAUAUGAGGACGUAUCUAAACGGAAUGAAUAAAUUUCAAUAGUCAAGAUGUCAAGAAGUUGGAUCAAUCUCUGCACUAAUAUGGUGGUCCAGAUAGUUUCGAGUGAUGUUGCAAUGAGGGAAGUCAUAAGGAAUGGAAAUUGGGAGUGAAUUAUGGGAUAAAAUAGAUAUUUGGGCAAAUGCUCACUCUUUGACGCUGAAUUGUGGGGUAUUCUUGACGGUUUAGCUCUAAUUCAGAACAUGUACUAUGAUGGUGUGUUGAUACAAAUAGAUAGCUUGGAGAUGGUUAAGGCUAUUCAAGAUUCCUCUUUGUCAAAUUCGAACUCUAUCCUCAUUAUACGUAUUUAUCAGCUGCGGUUGAAUGCAAGCUCGUGGGAUAUUCAACAUUUUCCAAGGGAUCACAAUAAAACUGUUGACUACUUGGCCAAGAUGGCCUUUUAUACAAAUCAAUGACUAAAGAUUUUUUUAUGAGAUUUUGAGAGAGGUACUCGUACUUUCUCCUAUGACUCAAACAAGUGAUAGUUCUAUUUAGAGAAUUAUUAUAUAAUUAAAAUAUUUUAUUUCUUUUACUUUACCAAAAAAAAUAUGUGUUAUUGUUUAAUUUCAGAUGUUUUAAAAUUUAUUAUUAUAGUAGGAGGAUAGGAUAGAUAUACUUUGAUAAAAGCUUUUACAUAUUUUAAUAAUUAAACCAUUAAACUUUAUCAAUUUAUAAAUAUAGUUAUUAUUAUCAUAUGAGUAAAGUUUCGAAUCGAUUCAACAAUUUUUUUUAUUGUUUUUGUCAAUAAAUAUUUAAUUUUAUAUCAAAUAAUAAACAUUUUUAAUUUAUUAAAACUCAAAUGUGCAUAAUAUAAAUAUUAAAAUAUUAAUCAUAAAAAAAUAAGAAAAAAGAACCCUCACUUUAUCGAGGAUGGAGCCCUAUUUAUUAAUUUGUGUGAUUUUCUACGCCGACUUCACAGAAAGCUUGUUCCAUUCCACACUCCACCGGUUUAUACAUAAACCAUCUCAACCACCGACUCAACAAUCAUGUGGACCCGUUCCACCUAUCUAUCAAUCACAGCCGUUCAUUUGUUCUAUAUCAAACUUUUUCCAUCACCCACUUAAAGUAACACACAAAUAAAACAUAAAUACUCGUAUAUAAUAAAAUAUGUAUACACCCACAACAGUCAAACCUCCCCAAUAUCCUUCACCCAUGAUGAAACCUCUGGGAAACCUCCCCCAAACCGAAGUUUUGGUUCCAUAAAUACAUAGUUUAGGCAUCCAUUGCCAAGAAGACCCUAAGAAAAAUGAAGUUAUUGAGAAGAUCAUCAUCAAAGGGUGGGCGAUCCAAGCCCAAUGAAGUUUGCAAAAGACACCCAAAGCAUCGCCAAUCUCCGGGGGUUUGUUCACUUUGUUUAGUCGACAAACUCUCUAAGUUACCAUCACCACCUCAUUGCACUUCCACUAGUCGUACUGCUACUAAACUUGCAGAUUCCAAUUGUUCUCCAUUAUCAUCAUCUUCUUCUUUGUCAUCUCCCUGUUCUUCAGCUUCAGAUUCAGCUUUAUAUUCUUCUUCUUCAUCUCCUAUGCAUCGUUAUCGUUUUGGUAAAGAUCGGGGUGCGGGCUCUUCGUUUUCUUUGUUAUGGUUCAGUGGGAAGAAUUUACUCACUAAAAGCAGAUCAGUAGCUUUUGUUUCGAGAAUCGAAAACAAUGGUUAUGAUGAUAAGAAGAAGAAGAUCAACGGUGGGUUCUUGUCAAAGUUAAUACAUUAAUGGUGGUGGGUUUUUUUAUUUGUUUUCAUGCACCAGUUUUCUUGAUAAAUUACAGUAGAAAGAAGAGAUUAUAUUAAAGCAGAAGAUCAAUUACAAUAUAUUAGAUAUAUUUUUGCAUAUAUUGAUUCUCGUAUUUUGAUUCAUCUUAGCAUAUUAUAUGUAAGGUAUUCUACUUUCCCAAACAUUUAUUUCACUAAUGUUUUAUUAUUCCCAUUUGUUGUUCUUUUCAUGUGAAGGGAAACGUUGUUUUAUUCUAUAGGUUUCGAGUUUUUCUUUUAGGUUUUCUCUAUAUAACUCACCCAUUAACUUAUAAAUUAAUUUUAAAACUCGAUUUAUAAAUUUAAUUCAAAUAUAAAAUAAUUUUAAAAUUCAUGGCUAACAUAUAUUUCUUAAUUAACCUAUAUAAUACGGAAAUUAGAUAACAUUAUAGUAUCUUGCAUGUCUAGUUGAAAAUUAAGAAAGAAUGGAAAAAAGCUUAUAAAAACCAAAGAAUAUAAAUACAGGCAAGGAAUUACAUGAGGUUUGCUAAAAUUCAAAAGAUGGAAUGCAGCAUGGUUUGAUGUAAUCAAAUAUAAAAAUCAAAUAAAAUAGGAAAGCCUAUAUUGACAGCUUGGUAAAAUUAAUACCACAUGCAUGUCUCCAGCUUCGUAGCAACUUCCUCCAUAUGAUGAUCAUCAGCCAGUUCAACCUUUUUGAAUCUGCCUCUCUCUUUACAAAAUUAUUAACAGCUGGCCAUAAACCCUAAAAUUCAGAUCAAAUACAUGUAAAUUCAAUAUUUUUAUUUAAAAUGAGUAACUCAACUCAUAGAUAGAAUAUAUUUCUACUAAUAAAACAAGAAGAAGAAGAAGAUGUCAAAGAUAGAUUAGCUAAUGUUAUCUUAACUGACCAUAGAAUUUAAAAUUAGCUUAAACUAAUAUCUUGGAACCAAACUUUUAUUCUAUUAACCUACCACUCUAUUAACAUGACACCUGUUCAUUGCCUAUUUUUUCUUUUAACAUGAUAAGGUAGUAGUUAAUUUUUACUUUUAAUUUUUUUAAUUAUAUAAAAAUAGUUUUAGAUUUAAUUUUUAUUUUUAUAGUUUAAUUUUGACAUGAUUUGACAUUUCAAUUUUUAUAAUGUCAAUUAACAUAAAUAUUUUAUUCUGAUAAAAAUGUUGAUGUGAAUUUUUAAAAAUUGUUAACAUACGAUUAAUAACUAUAUCUAAAUUUUUAUAUUUGAAAAGUAAAAGCUCUUAAAUUCUUGAAAAUAAAAAUUUAAAACUUAAAAUAUUUGUGGUUAGAUAUUGUUGGAGAUCGACCUGUAUAAAUAACGGAAUAGAAAAGUAGAGGAGAUCGAUCACAGAAAUUUUACGUGAAAAAUGAUAAAAAAUCACGGACAAAUAGAGGCUUCAGCUUUUCACUCAAGAAGCAAACAAAUAAGAGUACAAGAUGGAGAAAAUAAUCCCAAAAAAGCAAAACCAAAACCCGAAUAAAAACUCUCAAAAAGACUCUUCAUCAAUUCUCAUAUAAGAGAUAUUCUAUAAACUCUCUAAAACAGGGUUACAAAACCCCUUUAAAUAGGUUAAUAUUAAAGUUCUAAUAUGACUAAAAUAUUUCUAGAGUAAUCAGGGUGUAACUGGAAAAAAUAAAUCCUAUUGAACUGUCAAAACAUGACUACAUAAGUUGGGAAAACAUCGUGACGUUUAUGCUUUCCUCGCCAUGACAUCGAUGCCACGUUCAUCUUGGGGUUUCAUUGCGUCGGGUCUAUCUUGGGCCUUUUUCAAGUGCUCGUCGAUCGUCUUUUUAAUAGUUUACAAAAAAUUCAAUAAAUAUUGCAAGACACACCUCACACAUAUUAAUAUAAUUUAAUUUAAAAAAAAUUAACCUUUGAAAACUAAAAUAUUUGUGAUUACAUAUUAGUGAAGUUUACUUUAAAAAAUUCAAACGUGAUUAUGAAUUAAUUGAAGCCGAACAAUUUCAAUUAUUGAAGGAACCGAGCUUGAACCGCAAAAUAUAAAUUCCAGCUUCAAUAUAAAUAAUGGAGUUUGUAGUUGGUGAAUGAGAUUAAUCUAUAAUUACAAUUAAUAUGAUUUUUAAAUGGAACCAAAUUUUGCAAAACCAUAUUAUUGGGAAAAUGGUGAUAAGUAAACACAUCGGGAAGAUUACGUAAGAUAUUAAAUUCAUAAUUUGUGACAGAUUCAUUUCAUCAUGUGAUCAUCAGAGGUGACACCAAAGCAUCAGAUUUUUGAACUCCAUGGACCAUGGUUUUGAUCAUUGCAAAUCACUGUCUUUCCUUGGUUGUUGUCUGGUUUUUCUUUUUUUUCUUGUUUUUUUCUCUGAAGUAUCUGAACAAUAAUAGAUACUCAGAAUCAGACAUUGAUUUAAUUGGAAUGGAAAUGAAUUUCAUAUAUAUGAUGGUUACGUUUUAAUUUAAUCAUCGAAUUAAAGCUUUUCCAAACACAUUUUUUAAUUAAGCCAGAUUUUUAAUUUUUUUUUGAAUAUUAUGAAAAAGUACGGUGAAAAAUUAUAAUUUAUUAAUUUUAAGUGUUCAGUAUUAUUGUCAAAAAUUGAGAUUAAAAGUAAAAACGUUUAUUUUGGACAUUACAUUGAAAAGUAACAAAUCAAUUACACAAACAAUACUUUAAGUUAGUUAACUGAAAUAAUAUUUGAAGUAAUUUAAAUUAAAUAUAUAAGUCAUAUAUUAGAUAUUAGUAAUAUAAUAACAAUUACUAUUAAUUUGAUAAUAACAAUUAAUAUUACAAAGAUAAUACAAUAUAGUGUAUCCAAGUUGAAAUGAAUUCAUUAAACUACAAGCAAUGGCAUCCCUUGUAGCUUCCAUUUCAAAACCAUAUAUACAAUCAAAUUCACCGUCAUCGUCAGUUCCUCCAUCAUGCAUAUCUUCUGGCUCAGUAAUGUUUUUAUAUGUUCUAUCAUUAGUUUCAAAUUCCAUAAAACCCACUUCAUCUAAAUUUUCAUGUUUUUGGAUAAAAUUGUUAUCCCCAUUGUAGCAACAAUAAUCAACCUUUGUUUUUCAAAACUAUAACUUAGCAUAUCCUUUAAAUUGGUCCAUUUCUUUGAGGUACACCAAAAGUUCUCUCAAUCACUACCUAAUAAUGAAUGUGCAUGAUUGAAUACUUCUUUUUUAUUAGAUAAAAGUCUACCUUUACGAAGAUCAGGUAAACAAUACUACUCUCCUCUAUACAGUCUACGGAACCCUUUCAUUUUGGGAUAUCCAGAAUCAUCAACAUAAUAUUUUCAUACAUGUCAUAAGAUGAUAACCAUUCAAUUAAAGAACUUAUACUUUUUAUAAAUGAAUGAAUGAAAUAAUUUACAUUCGGUGGGUGUGGAUUUUGAGUUUUGGGUCUCGAAUUGCAUCAAGAAAUAUUCUAGUGUCAUGUGUUGAUUUUUUCCAUCUAGCCACUACAAAUGUGAAGCAUGUAUUAAAAUCACAUACAACCAUAACAUUUUGAGUUGGAACACAUUUUCUUCAGAUGUAAGGAAUUUGUUCAUUUGGUGGAAGAAUCGCCACAACAUAUGUACCAUCAAUUGCACCUAUGCAAUCCUAAAUAAAUAAUCAUAUUUAGUACACAUGUAUAUUCAAUAAUAAUAGGUAUAUUAAAAUAAAAUAUGAUACUUUGAACAUGUUACCUUAAAAUGCGACCUGUAUCUUGAAUCAUUACGUAUUUGUUCAGGUAUUGUACUAAAAGUUUAAUCAUUUGGUGUAAUUAUAUCAAUAGUCAACUAUGAAACUUUAUCAACAAUUGUGAAGUAUUGACUUAUAGUUGAUUCAGAUAUUUGAAAUCUCUCUCGAGAUUCAAAAACUUUUGCACCAACACCCUACAUAUGCAAACAGAUACCUAACAUUUCAUGAGAAGAAAUAUUUCUUGAAAUUUACAAAUCAUGUCGUGUUUUUAAAACUUUCAACAAGCUUUUAAAUACUAUUAUGGACAUCCUAAAAUUAAUCACGCAACGAGAUUCAUGACCAUUAAGGACCUCUCAAACCCAUGCAUCAAUUUAUUGCUUUGAAUUCAUGCAUGGUUGUUUCAAUAAAUUUUUUUCAUAAUAUAAUUGAACAACAUAUGUUGCAACAAUGAAUAACCUAUUAAAACUUUUCACACGUUGUAAAAUCUCUCUCCUUUUAUCAUCACUUCUAUCACCAUUGGAAUUGUUGUCACUACUAUUCAUACUCAUUCUUUGCGAAAAUACAUUCACAGUGGUCGCAACAUUUAAAAAAUAGAGAAAUAAUAAACAUGAACCAUUGUCAAACAAAAGUGAACAAAGUAAGCAAACAUACAACCAUUGUCGAACAAAAGUAAGCAAACAUACAACCAUUGUCAAACAUCAUGAAACAUAGGUGGCACUUAAAGUGUCCAAUGCAAACUAAUAUUUAAACAUACCAAUUAAAUAUAAAAGAAACAUAUACAAAUUUGAUAAUGCAAAUCUUAUGGCCCAAGAAGACUAGCAAAUUUAGAAUUCUCGAAUUCUCCUCCAUUUCUGUUUAAGUCACCAAACUCCAAUCUUAGGAGAUAUGGAUAGAAACACAAUUCGCUUAUCCUUGUUGAGUAAUAACUUCAGUAAGAAAAAUUACAUGGACUAGCUUUUUGAACUUCAUCUAACAAGCUAUCAAGCACUUUGAUAGUUUUUGAAUUUGAUAGUUUUUGAAAUUCCAUAUGGAUCCAUAGCAAAAGUCAAACUAGAUGUAGCUUGACCCAUGCUGUCAACAACAUUGCGUAGUUUAUCAAUUUGGCUAGAUAACUUUGCAGCUCCUGCCUUGAAGGAUUUUUUUACUAGUCUUAAAACGAGAAGAUCUUGCCUCGAUGAAUUUUCUUUCUUGUUGUAGCUCUUUAACAUGUUGAGGCUCAAGUGGCCUAUCAAGAGUUUGGGUGUCGCCAUUUAUGUCAAGUCUUACUGGAGUUGACAUAUGAACAUCAUUCAUUGGAUUUCCUUCAUUUUCUUUACGAGUCUCAUUGCCCAUGCUUUGUCAUUGGUUGCAACUGUUCACAUGAACAUUUGAUCCGACUUUCCUUUUAAUUCUGGAUCAAUGUCUGCAACUCUAAAUUCCUGAGCUUUGAGCACAGCUUUCAUAUAAAAUAAUCGUUAAGUCAAAAUUAAGAACCUUAUAAAUAAGCAAAAUAAAAAUGAUAAAAAAAAGCUAUGUACCUUUAGCCUACUCUCCCACCAAUCUUCCAAGACAUCAACUAUUCCUUUCAUAGGAGUCUACUCUAAGCUAGUAUCUUUCCCUCUAAGGUUUUGUCAUUCCUUUCAUUUUUUUUUCAAUAAGUCUCACCUAUUUUUUAAAUGUUUUUGUGUGUAAGCCUUGCCCAUUUCAUUCUCAAGUUUAGCAACUAUUUUUAGUCAUCUUUCUCUUUUGAAAUAAGUAUCAAGUCUAUUGUCAUUACUUAUCUCUUUAACAAAGAUAACAAAAUAUUGUUGUCAACCUCCUAUCCCAUAUUACUUUUGACUUUUCACCUUUAGAAAUUUCACUUGUUUCAAAAAGCAUAACACUUUUCAUCUAUCAUAUAAAACACUUUCGUUUAAAUACUUUAAUAGCAUACAACAUUUAACACAUGAAAAAAAUAUUUAAUUAAACUCAGAUUGUGCAUUGACACUUUACUAUCAUCUCAAUUUGCGCAUUAACACUACCAAAUCAUGCUUCCAGAAUCCACUUUAUAAACCCCAUCAAAGCCCAAAAAUAAUAACCCAACAAUAUCACAAAACCAAUAACAUAAAAAAAUGCAUUAAAAAAAUAUAUGUAGCCCACAUCAAAGCCACAGUAUUAUGCAUGCAAUUUUAUUUUUUUCCUUCAAAAUUAUAAAAAAUCAAAAUUAAAUAAAAUUAAUAAAAAAAAUAAUUCUAAAUGACUUAUCCUUUUCUAACCAAAAAUAAAAAAUAAAAAAUUCUCAUCCUACUAAUGAGAAAUUUUAUGGUGAGCUCCAAGCUCACACCAAAAUUUCUAAGAUUUAGCAAAAUUUUCAAGCUCACACCAAAAUAUCUAACUUCUAGAAUUUUUGGUAAAUCUUAGAAAUUUUGGUGUGCUAUUGGAGCUCACUGUAAAAUUUCUUUUUUUAUAUAUAUUCAGAUAACAUUACAUAAUUUAUCAGUAUUAAAUAAAAGAAAGCAAGCACACUUAUUUAAAAACAAAAGACACUAAAACCUUCAACAAUACCAUCAUAAUAAAACUUCGUUUGUUUCAAUGUAAAAGCUUUUAUAGAAAAAAAAUUUCAUUCUUUUUUAAUUUUUUUUGAAGUAAAAUAGGAUGGUCAACGUAAAAAAUUUUCCAGUCAACGUAAAUUUAUCCCAUUAUUCCCGUAAAAUGGCUUACCAAACAUUUUUCAAACUAAUAAGGCUCUGUUCACUAUAACACCCCCAUACCCGACACGAACAUCAGAUCAAAACUCUAGGAUGUUACAUUCUCUACUACAUUCUUCACUUAUCAAAUAUUUUGUUAUAAACUUUAAUACUUUUUCAGUUUAAUCCCUUUUUGUCAUAAAAAUUCAGUAUUCACUAAUUAAUCAUAUUAAAUCAAUUUUAUUUCUUGUUACCCUUUAAUCACAUAAUUUAUCUCAAUAUCUUAUUUCACAUAUUAAAUUUCUAUGUUUUUCACUUCUAUUAUUUCAUCCACAUAUUUUCUCAAGUUUAACAAUUUAGUCAUUGUCAUCAUAAAAAUUCCACAUUUUCCCACAAUUUCACUUUUACAAUACUUUAUGCAUAUGUUAUCAUCUCAUAACACAAUCAUUAAACUUUUAUCACAAUUUCCUAUCACAAUUUCCUUAUUCAGAUAUUAAAUUGUUUCACACUUAAACUUUUGUAAAUUUUUCAAUUUAGUCUUUAUUGUCAUGUAAUUUAUUUUCACCAUAUAAGCACUUUAAUCAAACAAUUCAUUAUAAUAUGUUAUUUCACAUAACAAAAUUUCAUGCAUAUCAAUUCGCUUGUUUCAAUUAUAAAUUUUAAAAAGGUUACAAUUUAAUCCUUAACAUCGUGAAGACUUAUUAUUUACUAUAAUUUCACCUUAACAUCACUUUGUAAUCAAUUAACUGCUUAUCUAAAAUCUUAAAUGUAUGUUUGUUUCAUUUGAAAAUAAAUUUUAUGAAAUAUUUUCAGGAAAUUUUCCAAACAAUAGAAAAUAUUUUACAUAAAUUCAUUCAAACACUAGAAAAUAUUAGCUUUUCUAGAAAAGCAAGUCAUUUUCCAAAAAUCAUUUUCUGGAAGCCAUUUUCAAUGAAACAAAUAGAGCCUUACAUGUGCAUAAUUAAAAAAAAAAGUAGAUGACAAAUUAUAACUUACUUUAUUAAUAUGAUUAAAAAUAAAAAAGAAACUAGAAUUAAUUCAUUAAGGAACUGGGCAUGCCUUCAACAACUUGCUCUGCAAUUUUUUUAUUGAAAUAGAGGUUUGAAAAAUGGCUUAACAACAAUUGAUAUUUUUCAAAUACACCCCAAAGCUAUGCUUGAGUAAAGGCUUGCAUUACUUCAUUUUCUACUUAGUAAAUAAGAGUAAAGUAACAAAGGUAAAAUUGUAUUUUUUCACCCCGAAAUAGCCAAAGCCAACAACCACUACACUUGAUACCAGUUUCUCCGUUUGGGUUAAUAACCACUUCUUAAAACUGCUUUUAGUUGAAAAAGCAAUCUGUUUGGGAUUGCUUCAGUGGUUUAAAAGUGCUUUUAGACUUCUAAAAGCAUUUUCGAGCAAGCCCUUAGUCAUGUUUCAUAAUAAUUCUUUCCAACAGAAGAAUGAUGAAUUUAUUGGUACCGAAUUAUCACAACUUUAAUAAAUAUAAUAGCGUGACGAAAAUUGAGAUACAAACCAGAAAGUUCUUUUGAAACAAUAUGUCUUCUAAGUGAUAAUGUAAAGAAGUUUUAUUGCUUGUCAUCCCCUAAGAUACAACAAAUCAAUCACCCAUUGUACAACUUGUUAAUUUGCACAAGUUAAAAGAUAAAAAAAUCCAUUACAAUGAAAGUUUCUUCACCCAAUUUAUUAGCUUGUUUGAAAAAUCUAGGAGUAUCUUUUAAAAGAAACUUUAAAGAUGAUAUUGUAGAUAAGGAUAACCACGAAUCCUGAAAGACUCAGUUACUGUAGAACGUAAAACAGACAUAAAUGAUACAUUAAUUAUACCAAAAAAAAAAAGAAACCUCAUAAAACUUAGAACGAUAAAUUAAAUUAAACAACUAUUAUAAGUUAUAAAAAAAAUGUGGACUUCACUUCUUUUAUUAAACUACACUAAGAAUCUCCCACUUAUUUUAAUAAAGAGAUUUAAAUACGAAUUUUUCAAGAUAAAAAAUUAUGUGUAAUGUAGGUGUUAAUGGCUUGAGCCUAACACUUGCUCCACAAUCUCUACUCUAAAGUCAACAAUGAACUAAGUCUUGCAAUGAUCUUGAUAAGCCAACACGUUAUGGCCAUAUGAGUUCUUUCAGUUAUCAUGAACAUUCUAGAGGAUAAACUCUAAUUCUCAUAAGAAGCAGCCUUUAUCUAAUUCUCAUAAGAAGCAGCCUCACUUUUACACUCAUAUAGGUGAGACUAUCAAGGAUGCUCUUAUAACUCUACAUCUCGCUCAAAUGAGCUAUAGCCCUCAUUAAGAGUAUAAAUAUACCCAACCUCUGUAACACCCUUAACCUGUAUCCGUCACCGGAAUAGAGUUACGAGGCAUUAUCAGACUUAUACACUAGCAUUUAUACAAAACUGAGUCAUAAAUUUGCAUUCCAAAUCAAAACUUUUCAAAUUUCUCCACAAAGUCCCUAAUAUGGCCUUACGGGGCCCAAUACAUGCUUUAGAAGUGAUUUGGAACUAAACCAGUAGCUUCGGAAAACUUUGAAAAAAAUUUCUUGAAGUUAAGGGCACAUGCCCGUGUCGCCAGCCCGUGGGCAAUUUUGACUUGCAAUUUCUUAAGCAUCAAAGGGGCACACGGCCUGAGCACACACCCAUGUGGCUAGGCCUUGUGGUAAACUAAUUUUUCACCAUUUUUACGCCAUUUUCACACAAUUUUGACACACGACCAUGCUUGAAACCCGUGUCUUUCACACGACCAAAACACACGGUAGUGUCUUUUGCCCAUGUACUAUUCUAACUUCAUAUUUAAAGAUGCAAGGGACACACGGUCAUUUCACACGCCCGUGGGCUUACCAUGUGUCACGCACGGCCUAGACACACGCCUGUGUGUCAAACCAUGUGGACGAAAAUAGGUCGUUUUAUGCCACUUUUCUCACCCCAAACUUUAUCAUUCAAAACAACAUGUUUUUAUAUUAAUCCACAACAUACCAAUAUCAAACAUACUCCACUAGUCACUCUAAUGACUUGAUUACAAACUGAAAUAUUAAGUUGUUAUUUGACCACAAAAGCUUAUACAUGCCAUUAUAACAAAAUAGAUUUGUCAUUUUUACCAAAAUGAAAGGAUUGAUAGUGUGAUAAUAGCUCCGACCCAAUUCCAACCUUCACGAGCUUUAAGCACUAUAAAAUAGGAAAAAAUAUAAACCUAGUAAGCAUUAAUGCUUAGUAAUUUCAUAUAACCAAACUACAGUUACCAUUAAUGUUCAUUAAGUAAUUCAUACAUUAAGUAAUAUGUCCAUUAACUUAGUCAAUUAGCAAUUAAGACCUAUACACAAUCAUUCAACCAAUUGAUUAGUUUCCAAAAAUACUAAAAUGCAUAGAUGAGCUCAUUAUGCCAUUUCUUUUUAUAUCACUACGUAUGUCAUUACUGCUGAAUUAUUGAAUUUCCGAUGGACCUUUCCUUUUCCAGUUGUACACUUGAGGUGUACACUCCUUUCCAAGUGGUACACACAAAGUAUACCUUUUUCUUUUCAUAUGGUAUACACAAAGUAUACCUAACCUUUCCAAGUGUACACACAAAGUGUACAUAACCUUUUCAAGUUGUACCAUUUGGGUAUACAAAUCAUUUUCAAGUAUUACCCUUUUGGUUUACAUUCCUUUUCAUAAUGAGAUCAAAAGAUUAUCCUUUCGGAAUAACCUUUACUGCAACAUAUGCAGGAUCUCAUAUACAUGGUAAUCACCUGUCCAAUCGGAAAUCAAUAUUCAAACGGAUUCAUGUAAUGUUUCAUCAUUUACAUGUAAACCACAAAUCAACAUUAGUUUAUUACAUGUACAUACCAAUUACAAAUCAUGAUGCACAUAAUUCAACAAUCAAUUCAACACAUUUACAUGCUUAAUUUAGUUAUACGAACUUACCUUGACAAUUGAUCGUAUUUACUUAUCCGAAACUUUUUCUUUCCCUCGAUCUUUUUGUUUGACAUUUUUGGAUCUAUAUAAAUAAAUUUAAUCAUCAAUUCUAUGAUUUUUACAUUCAAUCAAGCCCAUUUCACAUUUUAGGAAAAAGUACUAUUUUGCCCCUAAACUUUUAAUAAAUUCCAAUUUCGUCCCUAGGCUCGGAAAUUGAAAUUCAUGCAAUUUACUUCUUAUUCCAAGCUUAUUAAAAAUUCCAACAUAACUUUUACAGCACAUGUAUUUCAUAAAAUUUAAAAUUUUCCAAGAAUUUCACUACUUUGCAAUUUAGCCCCUACAAAUGUUUUCACUAAAAAUAACUUUGUAAAAGUAGUUUAUCUAUCAAUAAUCUUUCAUUUUCUAUCAAAAACUUUCAAUUUACAGCAUAUUCAUCCAUGGGUAAUUUUCUAAACUUUAAUUUCUUUUAAAUUUAAUCCCCCAAAUAAAUAGAUUAAUCUUUCCUGAUUUCAAAUAUAUAAAAAUCACUAAAAACGGGACAUAGAACUUACCAAUUCAAGCUUGAGAAAUUCCCUUUCUCUAUCCUAGGGUUUCCAUAUAUUUUAUGGAGAAGAUGAUGGUAUAAAAUAAGUUUUAUUCUAUUUAAUCUUUUAUCAUAUAUUAAUUUAUUCACUUUCCAAUUUUGUCCUUGCAUCUUUUCAAUUUUCCAUGGAUGAGUCACUAAAAAUAUCUACAUGUUUUUCAUCAAUGGCCUAAUUUCCAUAUAAGGACCUCACAUUUUGAAUUCUCUAGCAAUAUAAUCCCUAUAGCUAUUAGAAUACAACUUUAACAUUUUAUUCAAUUUAGUCCUUUUUGCAAUUAGACACAUAAUUGAUAAAAUUUUUCUAUAAAAAUUUUCAUGCAAUAUUCCUAUCAUAAUACCUAUCAUUUUAUGAAAUUUAAAUAAUUUCAUUUUUUCGACUCGGAUUUGUUGUCCCAAAACUACUAUUCCGAUUUCACUGAAAUUAGACUGUUACAACUCUCCCUUCCUAAGGGAUUUUUGUCCUCGAAAAUCUUACCAGUGAAGAGAUUCGGGUACUGCCUUUUCAUGAUAUCUUCAGGUUCCUAAGUAGCUUUUUCAAUUCCAUGUUUCUGCCAAAGAACCUUUACCAAUGCUAUCUUUUUAUUUCUCAACUCUUUUGUUUCCUAUGAUAAGAUAUUAGUUAAUUCCUCACUAUAUGUCAUGUCGGGCUGAAUUUCCACUUUUUUUGGAGAGAUAACAUAUGAUGGAUCCGAUUGAUACCGUCUUAACAUUGACACAUGAAAAACAUUGUGAAUUCUUUCAAGUUCUGGCAGCAAUACUAACUGGUAAGCUACCGGUCCAAUUCUUUCAAUGACCUCAUAUGGUCCAAUAAACUGAGGACUUAAUUUUCCUGUACGGCCAAACCGGAGAACUUUCUUCCAGGGUAACACUUUCAAGAAUAUCUUAUUACCAAUCUAAAACUCAAUUUCUUUUCUUUUAAGAUCCGCAUAAGACUUUUGUCUGUCUGAAGCUGUUUUCAGGCUGUCUUGUAUCACCUUUACCUUUUCUUCAGUUUCCCAAAUUAAGUCAAUGCCAUGAAUAUUCUUUUCACUAAGCUCUGUCCAAUACAAUAGAAUUCUACAUUUUCGACUAUACAGAGCUUCAUACGGUUCCAUUUUGAUGCUGGAUUGGUAACUAUUAUUAUAAGCAAACUCAACCAAAGGCAAAUACUUUUCCCAGUUACCUUUAAACUCAAGUACACAACACCGUAACAUGUUUUCUAAAAUCUAUAUCACUCGUUCUGAUUGGCCAGAAGUUUGGGGAUGAAAUGCAGUAAUAAAAUGUAACUGUUUCCCCAGUGCUUCUUGCAAUUUAUACCAAAAUCGGGAUGUAAACCUAGGAUCUCUAUCAGAGAUAAUAGAAACCGAUACACCAUGCAAUCUAACAAUUUCAGAGACAUACAAUUUAGCCAACUUAUCUAAUGAAUAGUCCAUACAUACUGGUAUACAAUGCGCCGAUUUUGUUAACCGAUCCAUAAUUACCCAUAUAGAAUCUCUCUUUCUCGGAGACAUAGGUAAUCUCAUUACAAAAUCCAUGGUAAUUCUUUCCCAUUCCCCCUCCGGUUUAUUGAUUGACUGUAAUAACCCUGAAGGCACUUGAUGCUCAGCUUUAACUUGUUGACAUAUUAAACAUUUGACUACGAAUUCAAAAAUAUCUCUUUUCAUUCCCAGCCACCAAUACAUCUUUUUCAAAUCAUUAUACAUUUUAUUACUACCAGAAUGAACUGACAUUAUACCAUUAUGAGCUUCAUACAAAAUCUUUUGUACCAGUUCUGAGUUCUUCGGAACACAUAUUCUGUUUUUAAACAACAAGCAAUCAUCAGACCCAAUUUGAAACUCUGAAUCAGAAUUCUUUUGACAUUGCUCCCAUUUAACUUGCAACUCAUUGUCUGUAAUGACCCAAAUUUUAAGGUCAUUGGAAAAAUUGAAAUUUUCGGGUCAUUAUUUUUGCAAAAUGAAUUCGUAAAUAUUUAUUAGAAAUAUUUACAAAGUUAGUAGUGUAGUUGAUUAGACUUUGAUUAAGUGAAUUAGCUUGAAUUAAGGCUAAUUUAGUGAAAGGACAAGAUUGAAUAAAGUGUGAAGGUUUAAUUAUAAACUGUAGGAAAGCCAAAGGACUAAAUUAGCAAUUAGGCCAUAAGGUGACAAAUGUAUGGUAAAAAUAAAUAAAAUGUGUAAAAUUAUAAAUGGUACACAUGUAAUAAACAUGUGUAUUUACUUAUUUUAUAAGAAAAUAAUAAUAAUGAUUAAAGUAUAUUAUAAUAAUAUAAUAUACUAUAAUAAAGUAAUUAAACAAAACAAAUAAAAUAAAAGAAUGAAUGAAAACGAAACAAAUUAGGGAAAGAAAGAAAGAAAAAGGGAAAGAAAAAGAAAAGGAAAAUUUAGGGUUUUGGAGUUCCAAGCUUGAUUGGUAAGUCAAUUUGAUAUAUUUUCUUGUAAUUUUAAUGUCUAUGGAAUCCUAGGAAAGAAUACUACUUGAGUUAUGUUGAAAUUUAGAAAGUUAUUGAAUUUUUAGAUGUUGAUUAAGUUGAAUAAAUGGAAGAAUUAAGUGUUAAUUUGAUGGAAAUUCAAGUUAGAAGUGGGAGAAUGAUUAAAUUGUGAAAGAAAAUAUAUUUCUUGCAAUAAUAGGGAUUGAUUUGAGAAGAUGUUAUAAUUAGUGUUUCAUGCUGUAAAUUUAAGAGCUGGAAUAGUUUAAAAUGAUAAUUGGAUGAAAAUAUAGGAUUUGUUUUGAAGAAAAAGAAUGGUUAUGGUGGAAGGACUAAAUUGGAAUUUAAGUAAAAGAUACAUGGAAAUACAAGAGUGUGUUAUUAAAUAAUAUAUAUUGAUAAUUUUAAAUUUUAAAUUUUAUGUAGCCAACGUAGCACGGGGAACAUCAUCGAAAAAGGGAAAGGAGAAAGUGAAUGAGGAUAUCGAGUAAACUCGAGAAAUUCGGUUUGUAUUUCUAUAAACUAUGCUUAAUGAUUUAAUACAAUGUAAUUUCUAUUCUUAGUAGUUACAAUGUAUAAUGAAUGAUAUGAUAGAAAUUAUUACUGCUUUUGUAUUGAAAUGUAACGAUUUGUACACCCUAUCAACAAGUGUCGGACUAGUCGGAUAUAAUUGGCAUGCCAUAAGAUUGGAAGUGUUCAGGGAUAUUCUGACUGUGUGUCGAUGAGACACUAUAUGUGUCAACUAUUGUGACUGUUCCGGAUUCGUUCCGAAGGGGUACUCUGUACCUAACUAUGACUGUUACUACUACUAUUACUAUUACCCUACGGUGUAUUCCGGUUUCGGCCGAUGAAACACUGUACAUUAUCCCCGGUGUGUGGGUUAGAUCCGUGUAUCCAUCUAAUUCCGAUUUAUGUUAAUAGGGGUAAUUGAAAGUACUAAGGACAAAGACUGACUGCUAUUGAUUAUGUGACUGUGACUGUUAUACAAGUAUUGAAUGAUAUUGAAUGAUAUGAAAAGUAUAAAAAGAAUUGUUUAAAUACAUUUAAGAGCUAUAAGUUAAAGGUAAGUGAUGAAGCUAAUAAGAUUAUGAAAUAAAAAGUUAUCUUACAAUGUAUAUACAUGGCUUAUUAUUGUUUUAAGUAUUAGUUUAUAGAAAUGCCACUGAGUGUAUACUCAGGGUACGGUAUGUUUCUGUGCACAGUUCUAGGUAAGACUCAGCAUCCAAGCCAAUCCCAGACUCAAAGUGGUGAAUACUUUUCUUUUGGUAAAAUGGCAUGUACCAAGGUUGUUAAGGUGUUAUUUUGUAUAUGAUAGUGUAUAAACAUGAAAGUUGUUGAAGCAUGGUAUGAAAUAUGCAUUUUUUGGAAGCUAAACUUACAUGAGUUUGACUAGUAUGAUAAUGUUGUAUAAUUUUGAUAUGAAUUGUGGUACAUAAUUCUUCAGAGGUAUUGAAGUGAAUGAAUGAAUAUGAAUGAAUGAAUGAAUGAAUAUUGAUAUGAAUGAAAUAUGCAUAAAGAAUGAUAUUUGAUUUAAAAACUAUUAGUAAAUAUUUGAGCAUGAAAUAGAUGUGUUUAGCAUGUGAAAAUAGCUUAAAAAUGGUCAGGUCAAAAAUCAUGUUUUCACACGGCCAAGUCACAUGAGCGUGUGCCCAGGCCAUGUGAAUUAGUCAGAAUCUGCCCAUGGCCUAGCCCCACGGCCAUAUCCCAGGCCACACGGCCAUGUCCCAGGCCACACGAACGUUGCCUCUAUCUUCAAGGAGAAAUUUCUAAAGUUGCCAAUUUAGUUCCGAAUCACUUCUAAAACAUAUAUUGGGCCCCAUAGGCCUAUAUUAGAGACUUUAAGAUGAAAUUUGAAAGGUUUUGAUUUGUAAUGAAAAUUUAUGACUCGAUUUUGUAUAAAUUCUAAUGUAUAAGUCCAGUAAUGCCUCGUAACCCUAUUCUGGUGACGGUUUGGGGUUAGGGGGUGUUACAUUGUCACUCUUCUGUGCUUCAUAGAUUUGUUGUAUAAAUAUCAGUCUAGCUUUCAAUUCAGCUACAACCGAACCAUCAUCUAAACAAGAUAACCGGGUGUUCUUGCUCUUAAAGUAAAUAAAGAUUUCCUACUCAGUGUAUCUGCCACAACAUUAGCCUUUCCCGGAUGAUAGUCAAUAAUCAAAUCGUUAUCUUUUAUUAACUCAAGCCACCUGCGUUGCCUCACAUCAAGUUUUUCUAUAUCAUUAAAUACUUCAGACUUUUAUGGUAAGUGUAAAUAUGACAUUUUUCACCAUAUAAAUAAUACCGCCAUAUUUUCAAUGCAAGCACUAUGGCUGCCAAUUCAAGAUCAUGUAUCGGGUAAUUUCUUUCAUGUGGUUUAAGUUGACUUGAAGCAUAGGCAACCACUUUACCUUCUUGAUUCAAAACACAACCUAAACCAUUUAAAUAUGCAUCACUGUAAAUUACAACUUCCUUACCCGAUUCAGGUUGUACUAAUACAGGUGCUUCAGUCAACACAGUCUUCAAUUUAUCAAAGCUCUGCUGACAUUUGUCAUUCCACUCGAACUUUACACAUUUUUGUAACAGACGAGUUAUUGGAAAAGAAACCAUUGAAAAUCCUUUAACAAACCUCCGAUAAUACCCGGCUAAACCCAGAAAACUUCUGACCUCUGAUACGCUCUUUGGUGAAUUCUAAUUAAUAAUUGCUAAAAUUUUGCUCAUGUUAACCUUGAUGCCUUUAGCAGAUACGAUGUGACCAAGAAAAAUGACUUCAUCCUCAAAUGUUCAGCAUGCUCAUCUUCACUUCGGGAAUAAACUAAAAUAUCAUCUAUGAAUACCACGACAAACCUAUCUAGGUAAGGUCUAAAAAUCCAGUUCAUUAAAUCCAUAAACACUGCUGGUGCAUUUGUUAAUCCAAAUGGCACCACCAAGAAUUCGUAAUGACCAUAUCUAGUUCUGAAAGCUGUCUUUGGAACAUCUGAAUCCUUCACCCAGAGCUGGUAAUAACCCGAACGAAGAUCAAUCUUUGAAAAUACAGUAGCUUCCUUCAACUGAUCAAAUAAGACAUCAAUUCGAGGUAGUGGAUAUUUAUUCUUUAUAGUGACUUUGUUGAGUUGCCGGUAAUCAAUACAUAACCUCAAUGAUCCAUCUUUCUUCUUUACAAAUAACACCGGAGCAGCCUAUGGUGAGAAACUAGGUCGAGCAAAACCCCUCUCAAUUAAUUCUUGUAACUGCACCUUCAACUCUUUCAACUUGGCGGGAGCCAUUCGAUAAGGUGCUAUCGAUAUUGGUGUUGUUCCCGAAAUUACAUCUAUAGAGAAUUCACUUCUCUGACAGGUGGUAAGCCAGACAAUUCUUUCGGAAACACAUCUAGAAACUCACAUACAACUGGCACAGAUUGAAUCUUUGACUCAGUUACCUUAAUAUCCAACAUAUAAGCAAGAUAAGCAUCAUAUCCCUUCCUCAUACAUUUCUGUGCUGCUAUUGCUAAAAUCAUAUUAAAUAAUCCAUCUAGCUUGUCAGAUUCAACAUUAAGUAACUCACGGUCUUAACAUUUCAACACAAUAUACUUCUGCUUAUAAUUAACCACUGCAUCAUGUUGGGUUAACCAAUCCAUUCUCAAUAUCAUAUCGAAUUCAUCAAAAGGCAGUAGCAUUAAAUCAACUAAGAAACAUUUACCCUUUACCAUAAGUGGAUAGUUUUUACAAACUUUAUCUACUUUUGUACAUUGGCCCAAAGGAUUUUAAAGUUCCACCAUAAAUUCAGUGAAUUCAACAGGUAAAUUUUUAACAUUUACUAAAUUUAUGCAUAUAAACUGUGGAACCUGGAUCAAUCAAUGCAAUAAUAUUAGUAUCUAGUAAAGAAAAAGUACCAGUAAUGACAUCUGGCACUAGAACAUCUUCUCGGGCCCGUAUGACAUAUGUUCUUGCAGGAGCUCGAGCAUCAGAUUUAGCAGUUGAAUCUUUUGUAGCGCUUCGGGUACCACUAAAAUUUUUAGGGUGUCUAGGUGGUCUGCCCCUUAAAGUAGUGUUGCCUGGUUUUAAAGUCUGUUCAGCAUCUCUUUCUACUAUUUUUGGACAACUUUCAAGAGAUGAUCAAAUAAACCACAUUUGUAACAUACAGCGGUGUUCAUUCAGCAUUCACCAUAAUGAAAUUUGUUACAGUGUUUACAUUUUGGCUUCGUGUUUCCCACAUUUCCAAACUAGUUACUGAUGGUGAAGAAGACUUGGGAUUAAAGCGUUGAAAACAACACUCGUUGCCGAAAUACCCAGCUUUGAAGAAAAUAAUUGAGACCUACCAAUAGGUCUUUUCCCAGAGGAUUGGGCUUCUUUGUUUGCCUUCUUCUUUUCUUUACUUAGCUCAUCAGCUUUCUUUGCAUGAUCAAUAAGUGCUGCAAACUCUCUUAUUUCUAAAAUGCCAAUCAGUAAUUUUAUAUUUUCAUUUAAUCCUUCCUCGAAAUGUUUACACAUUUCUGCCUCUGUUUGUACCCAUUUACUAGCAUAUUGGCUUAACAGUGCAAACUCUCUUUCAUAUUCCGCAACGGUCCUAUUCCCCUGUUUUAAUUCUAGAAAUUCUUUCCUUUUCUGAUCUAGGAAUCUUUGACUAAUAUAUUUCUUUCUGAAUUCAGAUUGAAAGCAUUCCCAAGUAAUCUUUUCUUUUGGAACUACUGAAGUUACAGUUUUCCACCAGUGAUAAGCCGUGUCCUUUAACAGAGAUACAGAACAUUUCAAGCAUUCAGCUAGAGUACAUAAUAAUUCGUCCAACACUCGAGUAGUAUUUUCCAGCCAGAAUUCAGCUUUUUUCAGAUCAUCAUCGAUUGUAGCUCUAAAUUCUUCAGCCCCAUAUUUUCUGAGUUUAUCCACUAGAACCUUACUAAUUCUAAUAGUUUCAGUACCCGAUAGUCUCUCAAGAAUAGUUUGAGUAUUUGAUGGGGAGGUUGUGAUUGAAAAGCAGCAGAAUUUCUUUUCAAAUAUUCAGGAAACCAUUUAUCCAACAUUUCAAAGAAAACCUCUUUAGCAUAUUCACUUCGACCUUCUGAUUCAGACCUUCUACUACUACUACCAUCUGUAGCUCGUCGAACGAAAGCUUGAGAAGUACUCUCAGCUUCUUUAGAUUCUGCUCUUGCUCGGUUGGAAAACAUUUACUAUAUGAAAACACAUUUAAAAUGGUCAGGAGAUAUCACACUAUCAUCAAUUAUAUAAUGACAUGUAUAGUUAAAUUCACACUUGCUACGUUAGUCCGAGAAUUGGCUAAACCAUAGCUCUGAUACCACUAAAUGUAACACUCUUAACUCGUAUCCGUCACUAAAAUAGGGUUACGAGGAAUUACCGAACUUAUACACUAGCAUUUAUACAAAACUGAGCCAUAAAUUUGUAUUCCAAAUCAAAAUUUUUCAAAUUUCACCAUAAAGUCCCUAAUAUGGGCCUACAGGACCCAAUACAUACUUUAGAAGUGAUUUGGAACUAAACCGGUAACUUUGAAAAACUUUGAAAAAAUUUCUUGAAGUUAGGGGCACAUGCCCAUGUGGCCAGCCUGUGUGGCUACCAUAGCCGUGUGGCCAGCCUGUGGGCAAUUUUGACUUGCAAUUUCUUAAGCAUCAAAGGGGCACACGGCCUGGGCACACGCCCAUGUGGCUAGGCCUUGUGGUAAACUAAUUUUCACUAUUUUUACGACAUUUUCACACGAUUUUGACACACGACCAUGCUUGAAACUCGUGUCUUUCACACAAUAAAAACACACGGCCGUGUCUUUUGCUCGUGUACUAUCCUAACUUCAUAUUUAAGGAUGUAGGGGACACACAGACAUUUCACACGCCUGUGGGCUUACAGUGUGUCACACACGGCCUAGACACACGUCCGUGUGUCUAACUAUGUGGACGAAAAUAAGUCAUUUUAGGCCACUUUUCUCACCCCAAACUUAAUCAUUCAAAACAACAUGUUUUUAUAUUAAUCCACAACAUACCAAUAUCAAACAUGCUCCGCUAAUCACUCUAAUGACUUGAUUACAAACCGAAAUAUUAAGUUGUUAUUUGACCACAAAAGCUUAUACAUGCUAUUAUAACAAAAUAGAUUUAUCAUUUCUAGCAAAAUGAAGGGAUUGAUAGUGUGAUGAUAGCUCCGACUUAAUUCCAACCUUCACGAGAUUUGAGCACUAUAAAACAGGAAAAAAUAUAAACCUAGUAAGCAUUAAUGCUUAGUAAGUUCAUAUAACCAAACUACACUUACCUUUCAUGUUCAUCAAGUAAUUCAUACAUUAAGUAAUAUUUCCAUUAACUUAGUCAAUUAGCAAUUAAAUCCUACACACAAUCAAUCAACCAAUUGAUUAGUUUCCAAAAAUACUAAAAUGCAUAGAUGAGCUCAUUAUGCCAUUUCUUUUUAUAUCACUACGUAUGUCAUUACCGCUGAAUUAUUGAAUUUCCGAUGGACCUUUCCUUUUCUAGUUAUACACUUGAGGUGCACAUUCCUUUCCAAAUGGUACACACAAAGUAUACAUUUCCUUUUUAUAUGGUAUACACAAAGUAUACCUAACCUUUCCAAGUGUACAUACAAAGUGUACAUAACCUUUUCAAGUUGUACCAUUUGGGUACACAAAUCCUUUUCAAGUAUUACCCUUUUGGUUUACAUUCCUUUUCAUAAUGAGAUCAAAAGAUUAUCCUUUCGGAAUAACCUUUACUGCAACAUAUGCAGGAUCUCAUAUACAUGAUAAUCACUUGUCCAAUCGGAAAUCAAUAUUCAAACGGAUUCAUGUAAUAUUUCAUCAUUUACAUGUAAAUCACAAAUCAACAUUAGUUUAUUACAUGUACAUACAAAUUAAAAAUCAUGAUACACAUAAUUCAACAAUCAAUUCAACACAUUCACAUGCUUAAUUUAGUUAUACGAACUUACCUUGACAAUUGAUCGUAUCUAUUUAUCUGAAACUUUUUCUUUCCCUCAUUCUUUUUCUUUGUUCGACACUUCUGGAUCUAUAUAAAUAAAUUUAAUCAUCAAUUCUAUGAUUUUUACAUUCAAUCAAGCCCAUUUCAUAUUUUAGACAAAAGUACCCCUAAACUUUUAAUUAAUUCCAAUUUCAUCCCUAGGCUCAGAAAUUGAAAUUCAUGCAAUUUACUCAUUAUUCCAAGCUUAUUCAAAAUUCCAACAUAACUUUUACAGCACAUGUAUUUCAUAAAUUUCAGAAUUUUUUCAAGAAUUUCACUACUUUGCAAUUUAGUCCCUACACAUGUUUUCACUAAAAAUCACUUUGUAAAAGUGGUUUAUCUAUCAAUAAUCUUUCAUUUUCUAUCAAACACUUUCAAUUUACAGCAUAUUCAUAAAUAGGUAAUUUUCUGAACUUUAAUUUUUUUUAAAUUUAAUCCCCAAAUAAAGAGAUUAAUCUUUCCUAAUCUCAAAAAUAUAAAAAUCACUAUAAACGGGACAUAGAACUUACCAAUUCAAGCUUAAGAAAUUCCCUUCCUCUCUCCUAGGGUUUCCAUGUAUUAUAUGGAGAAGAUGAUGAUAUAAAAAAAGUUUUAUUCUAUUUAAUCGUUUAUCGUAUAUUAAUUUAUUCACUUUCUAAUUUUGUCCUUGCAUCUUUUCAAUUUUCCAUGGAUGAGUCACUAAAUAUAUCUACAUGUUUUUCAUUAAUGGCCUAAUUACAAUAUAAGGACCUCACAUUUUGAAUUCUCUAGCUAUAUAAUCCCUAUAGCUAUUAGUAUACAACUUUAACAUUUUAUUCAAUUUAGUCCUUUUUGCAAUUAGACACAUAAUUGAUAAAAUUUUUCUAUAAAAAUUUUCAUACAAUAUUCCAAUCAUAAUACCUAUCAUUUUAUGAAAGUUAAAUAAUUUCAUUUUUCGGGCUCGGAUUUGUGAUCCCAAAACCACUAUUCUGAUUUCACUGAAAUUAGACUGUUACAACCUCUAUUAUUGUUAUAGGAUCCAUGAACCGCAUCAUAUGGAGAGGUUUACAUAUAUAUUAUUUAUAUGUGCAUGUAAUCAAACCACUCCAUCAUUUAUUUUUUUUUCAUUUAAACCUAAUUCUUAGGGAUCUCCAAUUAUUAGGUAGGGUAUACUUAUAGUUUAUAUUUAUUUUUGUUUGAGCUUUGUUAGGAUAAUUACCACCAUCGGUCCAAAAUCCCUUUGGGUUUGGGCCAGCAUCAACCCAAACCCACGAGGUCGUUGACCGAGCUCAUAUGAUAGGAUCGCAGGCUGAGCUCGUAGCUCGUUUGCUGAGCUUACUCCCCUGCGAUAUUAUACAUGCAUGAAAACGCGUAACACGUAUUCAACCUAGAGUAGGGUACGUGUCUGUAUGCAUGGAGCCUACUUAACCUGUCAUCUCAAUGAAUAAUACCCAUAUCAUAUAAAUAGACAAACGUCACCAGGAAAAAAUGAUAGAGAAAAAUACCUCAACAAGCUUUAAUCCCAUCCACCUUGAUGUUAUCCAAACAUUUUUUCUAGUUAAAAUUUUGCCAAAUUAUCUAUAAUAUUAUCACCAUUUUGAAUAUAGUUAACAUUAAUGGUACUAUUAGUUAUAUGGUAUCUCUUAAUAUUUGUUAUCCCUUCCACUAUGUUUUCUUCUUAUAGAUCUAAAUAAUUUAUUAUAAUAUUUGUUAUCCCUUCCAAUAGUUGUAAUACCAUCACAAUGGUUUAAUAUAGGUGAUAUUGGCUUUUUUCAAAUUAGAAUAUCAAAUAAGAUAUCUGAUACGAACCCACCCUGCGAACUACUUUGGUCAAGCAUACUAAGCCGAGCAUUGCACAGUUGGCAAGCUGAUUCUAGGUCAUUUCCAGCUUCCCGAACUCCGUCCAGUUUAAUUCAGCUUGUUACCGAUUUAAUUUUGGUUAGACACAGCUCAUUAAAGCUCAACUCGGUUUGAUGCAAGCUCAUUGAGCUUGACUCAAAAACAUUUAAUUCCAUGCAUUCAACUUUUGGGGAGUAAAUUCGAAAAAAAUUUUGAGAUAACCAUUGUCCUAUUUGACAGAGGAAAGCCGCGCGGGAGAAAAUAUUUUCUAGGGAACAAACGGCUCGACUUGAGGAGAAGUCGUCCUCAAGAGGGGGAAUGAUACGAACCCGCCCCACGAACUACUUUGGUCAAGCUUACCAAGCCGAGCAUUACACUGUUGGCAAGCUGAUCCUAGCUCAUUUCCAGCUCCCCAAGCUCCGUCCAGUUCAAUUCAGCUUGUUACUAGUUUAAUUUUGGUUUGACACAGCUCAUUAAAGCUCAACUCGGUUUGACGCAAGCUCAUUGAGCUUGAUUCAAAAAUAUUUAAUUUCAUGCAUUCUAAUUUGCUGAAAUAAAUAAGUUUGUUUAUUUAGUUAGCUUAAAAUAAUUAGCUCAUUUUAAUUUGUCAAAUCGGUACAUACUUAAAUAAAGUUUUAAUGUGUCUUAGUUCAGGACAUGAAUUUAAUAUGUCAAGUUUAGGACAAAUUAAUUAGCUGCUGCUAUUUAUUUGUCUAAGCCGAAUUUAAUGGUUGUCCAAGCAUUAAACGUGAGUCAUAAAUAUGUCCUAAACUUAGACAAAUUAAAUAAGCUAUUUAUGUCUUAACCGAAUUUAAUUCAUGUUGCUACUUUGUCCAACCGAAUUUAUGGUGCAUGUUAAUUGCUGUCCAAAUUAAAGAGAUGUUAGAGCAAGCAUGGGACGAAUUUAAGGAGUUGUUCAGCAUGCAAGGGGCGUCCAUUAAAGAGGCUACUGGUUGACGAAUUUAAUAUGUCCUAACUCAUUUAAGUGCUGCUUUAUUUUGCUAUAAUACAUGCAUGGAUUAGCCUAGGGAAGAACUGAAUCAACAUCAUCUUUUAGCUAACUUUUUCGUGCAUAGCAACAGCCAUGAAGAAUUAAUUUCCAGCUACAGCCUUUAAUUCCCUCUAAGUGAUGCCUUGGGCAUUACAAUGAACACUUUUUUCUUUACCUAAUAAUCAACUGAAUUAGGCUGACAUUUGAAGUUUUCUAAGUUAUUUUAAUACCUCCCAUGAUCGUUCAGCUCAAUGAAGCACCACCAGCUUCUGUCGAACCUUCAAAUAGGAUAUUUUGAGCUCAUUAAUUCAUCAGCUAUUGAGGAAGAUUUAAGGAAAUUUCCAUGGCCUAUUCUAGCAUGUUCUAGCCGGUUCUAAAUGUUUAAUGAGCUGCCAAGAGUGACCAUUCAACUAACUUUUCAUUUAGCUUAUAAAUAGUUGUUUGUUGUUAUUUGAAAAGAAGGUUGUUGAACUUUGAUUAUUGUUUCUUUGUUAAUGAAACUAUUUGGUGAGAUUCUUUUCUCCCUAAUUUUGUUGAAGACUUGUUGGCUUAUCUAGGAAGCCUAGUGGCGUCAACCUAUUUUUCUUCUAUCCUGAACUUAUCACUAUUCAUAGUGUGGCAUUCGAAACUAUACCAAGGUUCCUACUUUGCUAAGUAGUGGGUCGAGGUUUACCUUCUACCAUUUGAACACCUUAAAAGCCUAUAAGCAAUUGGGUCAAUACUCUCUAGUAUUGGUUCGUGCUUGCUUUUGAGUUCCUUUCUUUCCAUACUUACAUUUCAUCUUAUCCAAACCAAACUAUCACCUUUUCUUCAUUCUUUUUCCUUUAAACCGAACCUUUAAUAUUCAUAUUUUAAACCCUAUCUUUGAACCCCUUGAAUAGCUUUCAUAUUACUUAUUUAAAAACAUCCUUUUGAACAAACCGAACGAUACUUCUUCGUAGACGAUUAGGCAUCUUACAUACGACUCGACUCAUCCCAAGGCGGAUCGUAUCAUCUGGUAUCAAAGCUUGCAAAAUGAGAAGUACCGCAUUCGCAUCAUUAUCGGGAAUAGGUUCGUAAAGUGAAAAAAAUAAAAAAAUAGAAAAAAAUAUAAAAAAAAUUGACUUUUUUUCUUAUUGUAUUCAUCUUAAAGUAGUAAAAAAAAGAAGAAGGGAAAUUUGAAGUUGAAAAAAAAAAGAAUAUAUAUUUGAAAGUGCAAGUUUUGAAAUCUUCGGAAAAAAAAGUGCUCAAAGAGGUUUGUGUUCAUCUACUUGUGUUUCUGAUCAUUAGGUCCCAAUUCUAUCAUCUUCAUAUACCCCAACGCCACACUCAAAACCAUUUUAAUUUUUUUCAGCCUACCAUAAACCCCCUCAUCUUUAUCCUUUGUUAAACAACUUGCAACCGACCCCUAAGCCUAAAUAAGGCCUUGGAAAGUCCGAAUACGAAGUUACGAUAGAAAAUUUUGAGAGGUGAAAGGCACGAUAGUGUGAGCACAAUCGAGUGGAGGUAAAAGCCAAAAUUACGAGUGUAAAUACGAGUGAGAGCAUAAUCAAACUUUUUCUUUCCGAGUGAAAUCGUGAGGUUUUUGUUGUGAGGAAUUUAUUUAUGUUCUUAUUUAACAAUCUUUUCUUUCAGUAAUAAAUUAUGUCUUGUGAAGAAUUUACCGAAUCGGAGUUCCAAUAUUUGGUGGAAGAAAUACGAAGAAUGGUGAAUACUAAGUUUGACAAACUACACGAAAGACUAGAUCGUGCGGAGAAAAUAGACCAAAGUGAACGAGUGUCAUCAAGUUGGAAAGUGGAACCAAGAAUAUCACGGAGAUAUACAUUCGAUGACUACUCGAGAGAAGAUUCUUAUUAUGAUUCUUAUUCGCCAACGACUUCGAGACAAAGGGACGUAUACUAUGACUCCUACUCAUCGAAGAAUUCAAGAAGAGAUUUCGAUCGAGACUCCUUUUCAUCAAGGAAUUCGAGAUGAAGGGAAGCUGAUUUUGAUUUUGAAUCCUUCCGAGAAAAUGUGCGAGAUGAAAGAUACACCUCUUCAAGAACUCCAAAGAAAACAUCCACGGAUAGAUCUUCACGAAGGAUUGUUCGUAAACCAUAUGUAAAUGAUUUUUCCUCUUUUGAUAAAUGAUUUUUCCUCUUUUGAACAAAAUGAUUAUUCUCCUUAGUCUUUUGUAACCUCUUGUAAAAAGAAAACGAGAAAAAAAAUGAAAAGCAAAAAGAAAUCAAAAGACAAGAGAGGCAAGAAAAGAUUAUGAGAGAAAAUGAGAGGAUCUUGAAUGAAAUCGAGAAAAGAAACAAAGAAAUGAAAGAAAAAGAGGAAGAGAGGAAACAAAAUGAGAUUGAAAAAGAGAAUGAAAAAGAAAAAGAGUUUUUUCAAAAGAAAAGAAUGGAAAAAGAGAUUGAGAUAAAAGAAAAAGUGGAAGAAGUAAGUGAUCUUAAAGAAAAAGAUUCGAGUGGAAAAGAUGUUAGUGAGCAAGCGAGGAUUGUUUCCACUAACCCACUUGUUAGUUUUGCUUGUGAUAUCUCUUCCCAUGUUUUUAAAAAUCCGUGUGACCAAUUCCAGCUUCAAUACCUUCCCAACGAGCAGUGAUUUCGGUUGUACAAGAAAGGUAAGAACGAGAAUGACAACUGCCCACUUGUGUCUGAAGGUAAGCGAGGUAAGGACUCUAUGAUUAUCAAGUCACGAUCAUUUGAUUUAAAAACUGGUAGGUUUUGAUGACUUAAUUUCUGAAAGGUUUCCAUAUUUUGAUUUGGUUAGUCGUUGUCCACCUAUUGAUGUUAAUGACCUUGUUUCAAAAAGAUCCAUGAAAAGUUUGUCUUAUGACAUAUCUUAUCCUUCUGUUGGAUUGGUUCAACCUACGCAAAUCUUGUAUGUGUGUGAUAAAAUUUUUCCACAUAAAAAUUUUGAUGUGUUGGCUGUGAUGGAUUUGAAUAUUUGAAUAGUCGUAUGCUCACAACUCCUUUGUUUGACAUACAUGUUAAAAGGUUUUCACCCAAAAUGCUUACUUUGUUGGAUUGUGUCCAUCAAAAAAAAACUUUAAAUUUUUGUGCGAAGUUUCCAUGUUUUGAUCUACCUAUUCGAUUGAGUUUUGUGAAGUAUAAAUGUUUGCAUGUUCGCCUGCCUAAACUUUUUUUGAUCUACUUUUGUGAUUUAUUUGAGAAAACGAAAUUCUGGCUGUAUUUUGGGAUGAGUAAUCAAAAUUGAGUGUUUAAGCUUGGAGCUAGCCACUUUAAGUUGAUACCAAGAAAAUGUAAGUACCGUAAUCUCAUUGUAAAUAAAUUUUUUGUACCUUUUCAUCCGUUACGAAUUUUAUCUUCAUUUCUGAAAAUAAAUCUUGUGGUUAGUUUACAAAAUCAAAAUCAAGUUUUUGAUUCUGGAAUUUUUUUUUAAUCCCGGAAUCUGUUUAUGCUAUCCACCUGUGAAUAACAUCUCAUCAUGUCCUUUUAAGUACAUUAUCCAUGGUGACAUUGACAUCUUCCAUCUUUGUGGAAAUUACAUUUUGAAAGGUGCAAGUUACUUAUUUGAUUUUUCACAUUUUCAGGUUUAUUCGAGGUUGAAAUAUCGAUUACAUUACCUUGCUAAGGAGCGAAGGUUUGUUUUGCGCAAACGAGAUGAAGAAAUCGGUGUUGUUGAUGAUGACUUUGUGGAAAGUGGCCAUAUUAUUCAUCCUGCUACUGUAAGUCCAUUCAACUGAAUACAACAAGGUGAGGCCAAGUGAAUAUGUCCUUUGUUUUGAUCCAUUUGGAAUGUUGUGGUUGAAACGAGGAAUGCAUCCUUAUUUGCUAAAUUGCGUGAUUAAUCAUUCCUUGUUUCCAUUCUGUUCAAUUGUUCAUAUUGAUGGCAUAUCGAAAUUGUGCGAUAAUAUGAAGCUCCAUGUUAUGAACGAAUAAUUUUUUUCCAUAUGAUCUUUGGACUGGAUUUUAUAUGUGUUAUUUGAAUUUGAGUUUGUCGCACUUUUCAUUGUCAAAUUUGGUGAGUAAAUUCGGAAAAGUUUGUGAGACAACCUUUGUCCCAUUUGACCGAGGAAAGCCGCACGAGAGAAAAAAAUUUCUAGCAAACAAACGGCUUUACUUGAAGAGAAGUCUUCCUCAAGAGGGGGGAAUGAUACGAACCUGCCCCGCGAACUACUUUGGUCAAGCUUACCAAGCCGAGCAUUACACUGUUGGCAAGCUGAUCCUAGCUCAUUUCCAGCUCCCCAAGCUCCGUCCAGUUCAAUCCAGCUUGUUACUAGUUUAAUUUUGGUUUGACACAGCUCAUUAAAGCUCAACUCGGUUUGACGCAAGCUCAUUGAGCUUGAUUCAAAAAUAUUUAAUUUCAUGCAUUCUAAUUUGCUGAAAUAAAUAAGUUUGUUUAUUUAGUUAGCUUAAAAUAAUUAGCUCAUUUUAAUUUGUCAAAUCGGUACAUACUUAAAUAAAGUUUUAAUGUGUCUUAGUUCAGGACAUGAAUUUAAUAUGUCAAGUUUAGGACAAAUUAAUUAGCUGCUGCUAUUUAUUUGUCUAAGCCGAAUUUAAUGGUUGUCCUAGCAUUAAACGUGAGUCAUAAAUAUGUCCUAAACUUAGACAAAUUAAAUAAGCUAUUUAUGUCUUAACCGAAUUUAAUUCAUGUUGCUACUUUGUCCAAUCGAAUUUAUGGUGCAUGUUAAUUGCUGUCCAAAUUAAAGAGAUGUUAGAGCAAGCAUGGGACGAAUUUAAGGAGUUGUUCAGCAUGCAAGGGGCGUCCAUUAAAGAGGCUACUGGUUGACGAAUUUAAUAUGUCCUAACUCAUUUAAGUGCUGCUUUAUUUUGCUAUAAUACAUGCAUGGAUUGGCCUAGGGAAGAACUGAAUCAACAUUAUCUUUUAGCUAACUUUUUCGUGCAUAGCAACAGCCAUGAAGAAUUAAUUUCCAGCUACAGCCUUUAAUUCCCUCUAAGUGACGCCUUGGGCAUUACAAUGGACACCUUUUUCUUCACCUAAUAAUCAGCUGAAUGAGGCUGACGUUUGAAGUUCUCCAAGCUAUUUUAAUACCUCCCAUGACCGUUCAGCUCAACGAAGCACCACCAGUUGGCUGCUUACAUUCUGUCGAACCUUUUAAUAUGAUAUUUUGAGCUCAUUAAUUCAUCAGUUGUUAAGGAAGCUUCAAGGAAAGUUCCAUGUCCUAUUCUAGUAUGUUCUAGCCGAUUCUAAAUAUCUAAUGAGCUACCAAGAGUGACCAUUCGGCUAGCUUUUCGUUUAGCUUAUAAAUAGUUGUUUGUUGUUAUUUGAAAAGAAGGUUGUUGAACUUUGAUUAUUGUUUCUUUGUUAAUGAAAAUAUUUGGUGAGAUUCUUUUCUUCCUAAUUUCGUUGAAGACUUGUUGGCUUAUCUAGGAAACCUAGUGGCGUCAGCAUGUUUUUCUUCUAUCUCGAACUUAUCACUAUUCAUAGUGUGGCAUUCGAAACUAUACCAAGGUUCCUACUUUGCUAAGUAGUGGGUCGAGGUUUACCUUCUUUCAUCCGAACACCUUAAAAGCUUAUAAGCAAUUGGAUCGAUACUUUCUAGUAUUGGUUCGUGCUUGCUUUUGAGUUCCUUUCGUUCCAUACUUACAUUUCAUCUUAUCCAAACCAAACUAUCACCUUUCUUCAUUCUUUUUCCUUUAAAUCGAACCUUUAAUAUUCAUAUUUUAAACCUUAUCUUUGAACCCCUUGAAUAGCUUUCGCAUUACUUACUUAAAAACAUCAUUUUGAACAAACCGAACGAUAGUUCUUCGUAGACGAUCGGGCAUCUCACAUACGACUCGACUCACCCCGAGGCGGAUCGUAUCAAUAUCUUAUAACUAACAUGCUUCUUCACUAGUCGAGGCUAAUGCUCUAAGUUUAGCCUCUUUGAUGGAGUUUACUAUUAUUUGUUACUUUUUAAAUUUUCAACUGAAUGUUCCAUCUCCCAGUGUAAACAUAUAAUAGUCUAGACAAUAAAUCACUAGCUAAGGUAUUCAAAUUAACAUAAUUGUAUCCUUAACAAGAUAUUUUUUUUAUAAAGUAUACCGUAAGUUAGAGUUCUUUUUAAAUAUUUCAUUACUAGAUUAAUUGUGUUUUAGUACUCUAAGUUUGGUCUACUUGUAAAUCUAACUAGCAGCCCUACAACAUAUAAGUUAUGAAAAAUCAUUUUUUGAAGAAUAUUAUGAAUGGGAUUAAAGCACUUUAUUUAAAAGGCAACCAACAAAUUUGCAUCUAAACUAUACAUUUUCCCCUAUCUUGAUACUUAAAUUUUAUUUUGGGUCACAAGUUAUACUUAAACUACGUUCUUUUUCCAAGUCGCUACCUCCGUUCAUCCAACCAUUAGUCAAACUGAUGAGUUGAUUUAAAAAGAAAAAAAAGGCUUAACCUACAAAUUGAUAUAUAAACUAUGUCCUUUUUACCGUUUAUUGGCACCUAAACAUUUUUAGUCACAAUUAGUACUAAUCUAUUUUUUCCAUAAGUUGGUAUCUUUAUUAGUUCAACCAUUAGUCAAAUCGCUAAGUCAAUUUAAAAAAAAUUAAAAAUUGUCAUGUGACAAAAAUGACAAAAAAGUAUUAUUUUCUCCAAAUAUAUAUAUUCUUUUUUUUUCUUUAAUUUUUCUUUCUUCCUUUCAUCUUGGACUUCCUCUAAAAGUGUGAGCGUUUAGGGCUUCAUGGGUUUUAUCAAAGUUUUUAGAAUCAAGUCGAUGGUCAAAUCGGUUAGGCCACCGACUCUUGGUUUGAUAAAUUAAAUUAUUAAAAUAUUCAUAAAAAUAAAAAAAAUAAAGAAAAUCUAUUCAACCGAUUUUUUGGCUAGCCUCAACUAGUUUAUAUAGGUUCACAGGUCAAUUGAUUUAACCCCUAUCUCUAAACCAAUACCUUGGCUGAUUUUUUAUUCAACCAGACGGAUCUGGUUUUGGAAGCCUUGAUUUUGACCGAUGAAAAAACUUUUUCAAUCUUGUCAAGUCGAGCAAGCAAAUGGUGAAGUUUGAAAAGAAAAAUAAUUUUCACCAUCUCGACUUCAGGAAGGCAAAUUUCAAACAUUGCUGGCAUUGUUAAACAUUAUGAAGGAAGAAGAAAGAAAAAAAGAAGAAAAAAAUAAUGAAAAUAUAAUGUAAAAGAAAAAUAAAAGAAUAAAAAAAUUAACUUUUUAACCGUUUAUAUAAUAUGGCAAUCUAUUAUUGGUUGAAGUUUUUUUACCGGAUAUACCAUUUUGGUAUAAAAUGGAUAACGGAAGAAUAAUUUAGGUACCAUUUGUGACCUCAAAAAAAUUUUGAUACUAACUUAGAGAAAAUGGUAUAAUUUAGGUUUCAAUUUGUGAGUUAAGCCCUUUUAAAAAAAAUAGAUUUAAUGGUUAGAUUCACGAAGAUACUAACAUCAAAAAAAAUUCAAAUACUACUUACGACCAAGAAAAAUUUAAAUAUUAAAAUAUACAAAUUAUUUAGUAAUUUAUGGUUAAACCUAUUUAAAAUUUGAGAUGAUAACUUUUAGGGUAAACUAUAAAAACAAUCAUUUUUGUUUGUCCCAAAUUACAUUUUAGUCAUUUAUGUUUGAAAUGUUACAUUUUAGUCACGUACAUUAUCGUUUUGUUACGAAGUGUCACUCUACCGUUAAGCUCCAUUACCUCCCUAAUGGUGGUCCUACGUAGCAGUUCAAAUGGGUUUUAAAUGCCAACUUAGAUGUCUUAUGUGACAGUCCGAAUUAAAUUUAUUCAAUUAAAAAUCUAUUUUUAUCCCUACAACUGGACAUCGAAGUUGGCAUUUAAAACCUAUUUGGACUGCCACGUAGGACUAGCUUUAGGGAGGUAACGGAGUUUAAUAGUAGAAUGACCACUUCGUAACAAAAUGAUAACGUAAGUAACUAAAACGUAACAUUUUAAAUAUAAAUGACUAAAAUAUAAUUUAAAAUAAAUAAAAAUACUAUUUUUGAAGUUUACCCGAACUUUUAAAGAUGAUGUUCAGAGUUAGAAAUUUUACCAGCUCACCACUUACUAGAUAGGUUGCGAGCAAAUUUCUGUUUGGUGUAAUGAAAAUUUAGUCUUACGAAACUAAUAAUAACUUGAGAAAAGAUGAUAUGAUCAUCACUAUAUAUCAUUUUGAUUUAAAUUAUGUGACAUAAUAAUAUUUAUUACUUAACCCACAUCAAUUGUGCCUUUUAUAUAUAUAUAUAUUAAUUUAUAAAAAUUAUUUAGUACAAUUAUAUUAUAAAUUAAAGAGUUCAUAUAUCAUAUUAUCAAAAAUUGGCUCUAAUAUGCAGAACAAAAUUGGGGUUGAACUUUUAGGUUAGUGCAAAUUUCAAAGACAUUUAAGGGUCCAACUGUUUGUUUAAGAACUCUAUUUGAUCACCUCAAUAGGUUCGGUUUAUCCAAAUCAGACCUCCGAUUAUGCUUUUUCAAAUUUUCCCAUUUUUAGGUUGGUCUAUUUUAUUGCAAAAAUACUAUUUAAUAAUAAAAAAUAAUUUAAAUUUAAUUAUAAAAUAUUAAUAUAAAAUAUUUAAUAUAUAUAUUUUGUAAUUGGGGAUAAAAAAACGAAUUACUUGAGAUUGGAUCUAAACUCUUAUAACAUAAUACUCUAGCUAUUAAAUUAAGAAGUUAUCAGCAAAAUAAUUUAUUUUCUAUUGUAUUGAAUUAAAGUUAAAAUAUUAUUAUCCAACCAUAAGUAAUUAAAAAAUUCAAUUGAAUAAUAAUUAAAAAUUAUUUUAUUAAUAAAAUUUGAACAUCAAAUAUCAUACUUUUUUAAGCAUAAUUAUAAAGUUAGCUCUUAAUGUUUAUUAUUUUGUUAUUUUUUACUCUUAUUCUUUUGUUUUUGGGUCAUUUUGGCUCCCCAACCUUUAAAGUUUAGUCAAUAUGCUUAUUUUUUUUACAAAAAAAAUUGACUACACUGUUAAAAUUUUAAUAGCAUUGAUGUGGCCACUAGAGUGGUAGUCCACAUAUAAUUAAUAAAAAUUCAGAAAAAUAAUAAUAAUAUUUAAAAAAUCAAAAAGUUCAUAAAAUCUUUUAAAAAAUUCAUCUAUGUUAGCAGAGAAGGGUACGUAAAAAGCCACAUGAGCUAUCAUGUCAAUGCCAUUAAAAUUUUAACAGGUAAACCAGCUUUUUCAUAAAAAAUAUUAUCUAAAUUUUAAAAGUUGAUGGCCAAAAUGACAAAAAAAAAAAAAAAAAAGAGAUAAGGGCCAAAAUGAAUAAACAUUAAGGGCUAAAUUUAUCUUUAUGUUUUUUUAAAAUUUUAUUUUAUAUUUUAGGGCAAAUGCUCAAAUUAACUGUAGAGGCCCAAUUCUGCCCGGGGCCCGUACAAAUGUAAACUAAACUAAACCAUUUUUUUUAGUCCAAGUCCCUUUAUUACAUCAGCCCAAAUCUGCUAAAUUUCAAUGGCCCAACAAAGUCCAAACCCAUUUACAAUAACCCAAUUCUAAACCCAACUACCCAGCCCAAAAAUUCAAAGCCCAAAGGGCCCAAAAUAUUUUAGAAAUAGAAACUAGGGUUUCCCUUGCGCCCAGCUGGCCUCCCAACCCUCAUACAGCCUCCAGCGCCUCCAUACGGCCUUCACGCACCACCCCACGCCAAACGCCACAUACCACAGCGCCAACUGGCCUCCAUACCUGCGAAGAAACAGACAAACACAGCAGCAAGAGCAAAAACCAACCAAAAAACUUUGUAUUUUUUUUUCUAUUUUGUUGUGGCUAUAAAAAGCCAAGAAAUAUCAAUGUAUCGCUCUCUCUUUUUUACGCACACAAAAACACAAUAGAAGGCAAUAAAAUAAAAUAAAAACUGAGAAAGGUGAUUUCAAAUUUUGUUCUUCUUUUCCGAUCAUACUUUUUUUGUGUGUGUAUUUCUAUAUAUUCUUUUGUGUAUACAAAUAGAAGGGGAAAGCGAAGGGCUUACCUUUGCGAACACGCCAUCGAAGUCCCUAUUUCCUCCAUCGAGAUCGGAGUUGUAUUAGGGAUUUUGGGGCUGAAAUUGGCAGCAUAUCCUCAUCGGGCGAAUGGCCUCUGUUGUGAAAUGGCCAAAUGACCUGAUUUUUUAGGUUUUCUUUUCUUUAAAUACUACAUAAAACGACGUCGUUUAAGGAC